Molecule: long non-coding RNA, 83701 nt
Filed under: Capsicum annuum
Lineage: Eukaryota; Viridiplantae; Streptophyta; Magnoliopsida; Solanales; Solanaceae
Description: long non-coding RNA (CANN_LNC004174)
Source: RNAcentral
UGCUGCUAAAUAAGGCAUGUGCUCCAAGUCGUCCUCUGUUACGUCUGACUUCCCUUCAGUGACUUGUCUCACCUCGUCUCUUAAUUUUCGCAAUGUUUUUGGAUUCCUCAUGAGUUCAUUCAUUGUCCAUUCUAAAAGAGUGGAGGUUGUAUACGGUCCUGCAGACAACAUAUCCACUAUANNNNNNNNNNNNNNNNNNNNNNNNNNNNNNNNNNNNNNNNNNNNNNNNNNNNNNNNNNNNNNNNNNNNNNNNNNNNNNNNNNNNNNNNNNNNNNNNNNNNNNNNNNNNNNNNNNNNNNNNNNNNNNNNNNNNNNNNNNNNNNNNNNNNNNNNNNNNNNNNNNNNNNNNNNNNNNNNNNNNNNNNNNNNNNNNNNNNNNNNNNNNNNNNNNNNNNNNNNNNNNNNNNNNNNNNNNNNNNNNNNNNNNNNNNNNNNNNNNNNNNNNNNNNNNNNNNNNNNNNNNNNNNNNNNNNNNNNNNNNNNNNNNNNNNNNNNNNNNNNNNNNNNNNNNNAUGCUCACAAACAGCUCCGUCAAAUCAACAACUUGGGAACUGUCAAUUGAAUCCUUAAUCUUUUUUAGAAGAAGAGAAGUUUCCUCUUCCCUGAUUUUGCUAAAAGAUUGGACUCUUUUAUUGUUCAAAAGCUGAAGCAUGCAAAUACUUCUGGAGUUCCUCCAGUACUCAUCGUAUGGGGUGAAAGCCACGUCCUUGGGUCCGAAAAAGAUCUUGCUGGGAAUACUCAACAUAGGCUUGUCAGCAAAGCCCACGUCUUGGGUUUUCGUGAUCUGUGAAGCUGCUUCGGCUGAUGAUGCGAUCAAGACAGGAACGCUGCUGAAUAGAAGCAUCAUCAUUGGACCAUGUUCGUUAGAUAGUUUUUGGAGCGAACGAUGUGGAUGUAGGCCCAGUUGGUGAAAGUUUCCGAUAAAUGGAAGCUUAGGAGGAGAUGGAGGAAGAUUUUUCUUGGAUUUUUUGGAUGAAAGCUGGAAAAAUGAUAGUAGAACAAAUGACAAGAAAAUUAAGAAGGGAAGAAACGCAAAUAAGGAUAUCGUUUUCUUUUCGACUGUAAUUAGUUUUUAUAUUUUGCAAGAAAUAGAAGAGAUAUUGGUUAAAUGUGGAUGGUUGAGGAUUGGGGAGUUGUUCUCCUUUUAUAGAUUUUUAUUAUAGAGACCAAAUGAAAGGAGAAUGAAGACCAUGAAGGACAAGAAAUUAAAGCGAAAAUUUGAAAAAAUAAAGCUAGGAUUACGUCACUUUAUAAGUGAUUAACACGUUUGGUGUAAUGCAUAAGGAAAGAUAAUGUUUGAAUAAAUUUAUAUUUUUGAAAUGGGGUUGGGGAAGGGAUUAAAAGGUGAAAGUUAGGUAGCUAACUAGAACUACAAAAAUUCUCCAACUCCUUUGAAUUCAAACAUAGAAAGCAAAAAAUAUUUUUACUAACUUACCAUUAAUUAAUAAAUACUUACAAAAAUUAUAUAAAUCUUUGGUGGUUUCUCGAUUAUGUAAAAUUUUUAUUUAUUUAAAGAAGGGUAAAAUUGGAAGGAUGUGAUUAAUAUCUUCUUGAUCAACACUUAUUCUUCACAUAGCAGCUAAUGAAGGGCACAUUGAAGUAGUAUGUGUGCUGCUUGCAUGUAUAGAAGAUCAUAAUACUAAUUACUAAGGAGAAACUCAUGAGCAUGACGGAUGCUAGUGGAGAUACAGCCCUGCACAAGGCCGUGCGGAGCCAACAUCUAGAUGUGGUUAAGCUUUUAGUAAUAGAAGAUUCUGAAUUUGAAUUUCCGCCUAACCAUGCACAGGAGACGCCACUCUAUCUGGCGUCUGAAUCUGGUUUUCAUGGUGCUUUAAUUAAUAUCUUGAUAUCCUGCAAGAAACCAACUUAUGCUGCAGGUCUAUCUAAUAGAACGCCGCUGUAUGCAGCAGUAAUUCAGGAACAUAAAGGUACAUAAUUUUUUGUUAUUUACUGUAUCAAUAUCUAACUUCAGCUGACUUUCCCAUAAUCUGUUGAUGAUUUCGUAAUCUCUGUUGUGGAUGUAUAUUUUCGAGAAGAUCUACCCCUUUUUUAACUCGAAAAGAUUAGUUUUUAGUUCGAAAGGGUUUUCAUUAUUAAAGUGACAAAAAAUAAAAAUUUAAUUUCGAAAAGAAUUAUUUACAUUUAAACUCAGAGUCGCCACUUGACAUAAAUCAGGUGUGCCAAGUCACCCGUGGAUAUCCUUUUUCAAAACGGUUUUGACUCUAUAAAACUGAUCCACGAACAGAGAUUCCGGCUAAGAAAUUCUGUUGACCGAGGGGAAGGUGUUAGGCACCUCUUGAUCCCGUGGUUCGACCAUGGUCGCUUGGUGGAGUAUAUUGGCUAAUUUGAACACUAUGAAUGUAUAAACUACACCAAACAUAAAUAAAAUGAUCAAUCAAGCAAACAAGUCCAAAAACAAUGUCCAUUCCAAUUAUACAGUCCAAAAUAGAAAAAAGAAUGCGAAAAUGUAAAUCCUAUUCUACCCUACACUAAUUUUAUACUACGCUCCCAUGCUACCCGAUGCAUCGGACCUUUAUCACAGACGUCCUCCAAAUACAAAAUACUUCGGGGCAUUCCCCGGUGAAUAAAUACAAGAGAUCGCGGGGCAUUCCCCAAUUAAAUGAAUUUAUUUCCAAAUGCAAGAGCUAAAACCAAACCGUUCAACUCAAAUUCCACAUUCAAACAUUCAACAAGAAAACUUAUUCCUAAACUUUUGCCUACCCGAACCAACAUUCGCCUAUCCAUUUCAACAUAUCAUAAUUUUAUCACAUUCCAACAAUAUUCAUGCUCAUUAUGAAUUAAAAAAAACAACAAUAAACCAAAGGUAAUAUAAAUUCAUCAUUUUUAUCAAUUUCUCAAUUUCAUCCCCCAAAUCCAUUUUUAACCACAUUAUUAAACUAGGUCGACUAUCAAAUCACUUUUCAAAAUCCGAAACCAACAACAUAUACCCCAACGAAGAUUCAAACAUUUAAGCAUACCAAUCAUUCAUAUUCACAACAACAAUUAACAUUUUGCUCGAAAUAUUCAAAACCGCACCACAAAAUCAUGAUAUUAACUAACUUUGAUAUAAUUAAAAAGUAGAGUUGAGAGAUAGACCUUUGAAGAAUUGAUUUCAUUGAUAAUAAAAUCAAGAAAGCCCGGACUAUAGAAUUCCUAAUAGGACCUCAACAAUGACGAACUCCAACUCCGUAUUGAAAAAUUUGUGACCCAAAACUGAAGCUUCGUGAAUCCAAUCGAACCCGAAAAUCAACACUGUUCACGUACUGUUACGGUACUUAGACAACACUGUUCACGCCAUUGUUCACAACACUGUUCAUGAUACUGUUUCUCUCUCGAUUUUUUUUCUCUCUCACGCGAUUCUCUCUUCUCUCCCUAAUUUUUUUUGUUCUUCUUGUGAGGAAGAUGAUUUGGUGAUUGUUGUUAUUGUAGAGAAGAUGAUGAUGAAAGAAUAAGACUCUCCCUUUUUUCCUUUUAGAAUUUUUCUUUUAUAUUUUUUAUUUAUUUUUUCUUUUUCUUUAUUUAUUUUCCUAUGUGGAAGCAUAUAAUUGGGGCUUGUGGGAAUAAGUGUGUGGUAUGUGGAAAAGUUAGUGUGGCAUGUGGAAAAUGAGGGUGGCGUGUGGAAAAAUGUGUAGGGCGUGUGUCUUUUGCAUGUAUCCAAUUAAAAAUGAAAAGUGAGGUGUUGAGGUGGCAUAGUGAGGUGACAAAGAUGCUAUGUAUUUAAUUAUUUUCAAUUCUUUUUAUGGGGAGAAAUUAUCAAUUAAACAAAAGUAUGGUAAGAUGAAUAAAAUAAAAAUAAAAAAUUAAAAUAAAUAAAAUAAAAUAAAAAAUGAUUAAAAUAUUUUCAGGAAAGGACCCCUUUGGAUGUAAACACAUGGUGUUUUCAUACAAAGCAGUAGACAACGAGACCGAAUUUUGUCCUGACCUUUAUUCAAAAGCACGGAGCACGAGGAAGGAGGGAAACCAGGUCUUGACUUAGGACAUCCUAUCUACCCAAGUUAUGAGGGAAUCAAGUGACAGUUAUCUCAAAGGAUUGGAAGGAGCUAGACUAUGCCGAGUUAGAGAGUCGAGUGAGGUCCCAUCGAGGUCCGGUUUGCGGCUCUGUUAUUACAUCAAAAAUUAAAGUUACAAGUUAAAAACAUAAAUGAAAUUAUAAAAUCCUAUCUACGCAGCUUCUGUUGGACUCUUGACUUGAGUUUCAUCACCCUAUUCUUCAGGCGGGCUCCUGAUUUGAAAUUUCUUCAACUUGUUACUUGGUUUUCAAUUUCAUCACCCUGUUCUCCAGGCGGGCUCCUAACUUGAUAUUUUCAAUAUGUUGACUUUCAUUUUCUUCACUCUGUUACUUGACUUUCAACUUCUUCAUCUUGUUGCUUGACUUUUAAUUUCUUCACCUUGCUGCUUGACUUUUCAUUUAUUCGCGUUGUGCUUCGGGCGGGAUCCUAACUUCAUAUCAGAACUAGAAAGAAAAUUAUCCCAAACAAAGAUUAUUAUAAAGAGAUUUCAUAUGCCAGGAAAGUGAAGUUCCAACAUAAGAAUUAAAUUUUGCCCCAGUUUAUCAUCAAAGGACUUUUGUGAAAGUCAUAUCAUUAUAGGAAUCAAGGAGAAUGACUCGACUAUAAGGAGUGUCUGAUAGGAAUAAAAGGAAUUGACUCAACUAAAAGGUACGUCUUCUAGGGGUCAAGGAUAAUGAAUUGACUAAAAGGUACGUCUUAUAGGAAUCAAGGGAGAUGACUUGACUAAAAGGUACGUCUUACUAGGAAUUAAGGGAGAUGACUCAACUAAAAGGUACGUCUUAUAGGAAUCAAAGGGAAUGACUCGACUAAAAGGUACGUCUUCUAGGGGACAAAGGGAAUGACUCGACAUAAAGGUACAACUUAUAGGAUUCAAAGGGAAUGACUCGACUAAAGGUAUGUCUUAUAGGAAUCAAAGGAGAUGACUCGACUAAAAGGUACAUCUUAUAGGAAUCAAAGGGAAUGACUCGACUAAAAGGUAAAUCUUAUAGGAAUUAAAGGAGAUGACUCGACUAAAGGGUACAUCUUAUAGGAAUCAAAGGGACUGACUCAACUAAAAGGUACGUCUUCUAGGGGUCAAAGGGAAUGACUCGGCUAAAAGGUACGUCUUAUAGGAAUCAAAGGGAAUGACUCGACUAAAAAGUACGUCUUAUAGGAAUCAAAGGAUAUGACUCGACUAAAAGGUAUGUCUUAUAGGAAUAAAAGGGAAUGACUAGACUAAAAGGUACUUCUUCUAAGAGUGAAGGUUCAAUUUAAGAAGUGUAUCAUCCAGUAGAUGAAAACUGAAAUCCCUGGACAAGAAAGUAUGUCUCCGAGGGAUAUAAGAUGAUGAAUUUUUACCAUGAUUUAAUUAUCAAACCUGUGCAACAACAUUGCUUCCUGCAUUUGUAAAAGUGAGAAAUUACGGGCCUUGAUGUUUAACUUUGAAAUCCUUGAUUUGAAGGUAACAUGUGUUCCUGUUUCAUGCAAAGAAAGGUUGUGAGUUUAAAAACAUGGUGGCUGGUUUAUGGAUUUGGCUUUCGUGGCAAACGCUCUUGCCAUCAUCACAUUUAAUCUUGUUUCCAACUAUUACCCUGUGUCAUUGACUUGCUGCUUCAUUAACCAAACUCAGAUUAUUAAGAGUGACUAAGAUAAACAUAACAUCUCUGUUUUACCAUGCUUCUUAGAUAGACCCCUUGGAACCUUGGUAUUUCAUGAGUUCCCAGACUUAUUUGUUGGCAAAACUUUUUGCUUGCCUCAUUUUGGCUCACAAUCAUGUCUCUUUCAUGCGUUGGCCUUUCUGCCUUGUUUUGUAUAAUUGAAGAAGCUGGUAGCCAGUUUUGAAAUCUUUUCUCACUUGUUUUGACAUAGACUUGACUCAAAGACAAGAGAAAAAUAACAAUGAUUUUAUUUGGAUAACUGACUCAAGAAAAAUAAAAAUAUAACUAUUGAAAAGAAAGAAAUAAUAAUGAAUGUCCCCAUUGGAAAAGAUGAAAGAAAAGUUUAUCUGAAAAUGACAGUCAACUCUAAUGAUUAUGACAUGCAUAUCAAAUUAAACUGCCUGAUCUUUCCAUCCAAAACUCUCACAAACUAUUGUUGAGUUUAUGACCCUGAAAGUGAGUUGCUUUCUUAGGCCAAUUGCAUUCGGAGACCUCAUUCGGCUAGUGGCACCUUGAAGGGUUUUCGCCAACAAGUCUCUCUCAUUUUCUUUUAUCACCUGAGCAUUGCCUUAUAAUAUCCGAGAGGGUUUUUUACUAAUAAGAUUCUUAUUUUUAUUUUUCUCAACUCACAGCUGUCUUACAGUGCCCGUGAGUGUUUUCACUGAUAAGACUCUCUCAUUUUUAUUUAUCUCAACUCACCAUCGUCUUACAGUGCCCGUGAGGGUUUUCACCAAUAAAACUGUCUUAUUUUCAUUUCUCUCCUGGUUCCUUAUGCUGAGGAAGACAAGUAGUUCCCAAAAUACGUUAUCCACAUCCAUUGCAUGCUUAGCCUGAGCAUUCUUAAAGAUUGAUCUGAAGGUCUUUCUUUGAUUGUAACUUGGCUUUUGGAUAGGGUUAGAAAUAAAGGAUGGCAUGGGGACCAAACGACACUUAAAGUGGGAUGAGACUUACAACUUUUGGAAUCAACUCAAACAAUGAGGAUCAACUCAUGCCCCAGUUUCUUUUGACUGGGCAAUACUAAAUUUUAUUUGGUUGGACCGAGCCCUGAGUAGGGCAGCCUACGUAUCUCACCCCUAAAAGAGGAGAUCAGAUCAUGCGUAGUUCUGGCCACUUGUUCUUUUUUUGCUUAAUUCUGACUUGUUCUUUUUUUUCUUUUGACUUUUUUUUUCUUUGUGAUUUUUCUGACUCUAAUUUCCUUGACACUCUUUUCUUCCUUCUUGGACACAUUUUUUCUUUUUUUUUUUGAAGCUUUCUGACUCUAUUGUCUUGCUCGAUACUUUUGUUUUGAGCUUUGUUGGCUUUAUCUUGAUUCCAAAAUAGGGGUAUGAAAGAAAAUAAUACUAAGGCUCAAAUGGGGUAAAAAAAGGAUGACACAAUGGUUGGAUAGCAGAAUAAAAUUCCUUCGUCAUUUCAAUCCCUGAAAAUACUAGUACCUAGCAUGCAAUGUGGAAGUGCACGAUCAACAUCACUUAUGACAUGUUUUACAACACUGACUUGCCCCAAGCAUGUGUGUCACCUCUUUUCUAUACUUGUCAAACAUACAACUCUAUAUUUGUUGUACAUCCUUCCCAUUUAAUGACUCAUGCUUUCAUGGAGUUGAUUUUCUUUCUGUUCAUGCAGUCACUAUUGACCUAAUUGAGACGUGUCUUUCAAUUGAUGACCAUGUUAUUCUUGUGAUUCUCAAAGUAAUUGCCUUAAUUUUCGAAGAAGGCUUCAACUUGUCACCAAAUGUCUCAGCACUCCACCUAUUUUCUCAGAUGAUUUUCCUAACUUUAGCCCUCUGAUUCAAUGUUUCAUGGUUAAGUUGGAUUUUAAGAUCUGGCUGAAAAUUCCUCUAGCAUGUCAUAUCACUAGAAUCAACAUAAAAUGUACUGUACAAAGAAAACAAGCAAACGACACAGAUUUAAACAUAAAGGGAAAGGGAUAAUUCAUUUAGUUGAAAUAAAAGAUAGAAGGCUUGAACAUAAAUGACAAAGGUACAAAAUAAAAUAGAUCCCAAACUACAACCCUGAAAUAAUUCAAAAAAUAGAAAAGAAGACAAAACAACUACCAGACCUCUUCCUAGUAAGGAGAGGGGUGACUUCUAAAUUGCUCAGCUUGAUGACUUAGCCACUGGUUUGCAUAUCAGCAUGACUAGAACUUCCCUCAUUUUCAAUGUUCUACACCAUAAUUGAUCCAUCUUGAAUCAUCUUUUCAAUUUCUCUUUUCAAAUCUCGACAAUCUUCAAUACUAUGACCCUGAGCAUCAGAAUGAUAUGCACAUCAUAUAUUAGGAUUAAAGUUUCUUGAACGCCAAUUAUGAGUGCACCCAAGGAGAGAAGUGAUCAUGCCCCAUUGUACCAAUCUCUGAAAUAAAUUGGCAUACGACUCUCCAAUUGGUGUGAAGCUAUCUCUCGAAUUUUGCCUCAUUUCAUCGUUUGACUUGGAUCAAAAAUCAGGCUUAGAAGGGUUUUGGUGUGUUUGUGGAUUUAGAGGAUAACUCUGAGGAGUUGGUGUGUUCCACUGUGGGUAAGAUGGGGGUUGAAUAUGUGGUUGUGCAUUAUAUAUUGGAUAUAGAGGGGGAAGAGUAGAGUAUAAUAGAUUUUGGUAGUGAUUAUGUGAAGCUUGGGCAUGUUGGGCUUGUGCCUGAGAGUGACGACGACAUGGUCUUCUUGACCUUUCCUGCUGUCCAACUACAAUAGUAGAUGCAUCUUCCUCAUUAUUUUUCUCCCCAACACAUCCUCAACCCUUUUGAAUUGCUUGAGUAGUCGCUUUCAAUGUUGUAAAACUCAUGAUGAGACCAGUCUUAAUUCCCUCUUUUAUCAUCUCCCCCAUUUUAAGGACCUCAAUAAACGGCUUGCCUAACCCAGGUAACAAAUGUUGAUAAUAUGUUUCAUCUUGCGCUUGAAUAAACACCUCCACUAUCUUGCUUUCUUUCAUUGGCGGCCUCACCCUAGCAGCUUGUUCAUACCAUCUGAUCACAUACUCUCUGAAACUCUCAGUAUUCUUCUUCUUCAUACUGGUUAGGGAUUUUUGUCAGGAAUCAACUCCACAUUGUAUUGAAAUUGUUGCACAAAUUCAUUAGCUAGGUCAUCCCAACUAAUCCACUUGUUGAUGUCUUGGUCAACAAACCAUUCCGAAGCUAGGCUUGAAAGACUCUACCCGAAAUAAGCCAUAAGUAGUUCUUCCUUCUCUCCAGUGCCUCUUAAUUGAUUACAAUAGCGCCUCAAAUAUGCCACUGGUCCCCAUGUUCGUCAUAUUUCUCAAACUUUGGCAUUUUAAAUCCAGGAGGAAGGUUGACACCUGGAAACAUGUAUAAGUCCUUAUAUGAGACACUUUUGUAACCCCCAAGUCCUUCCAAUUUCUUCAUAGCCAGUUCCAAACUUCUCAAUUUUCUGGUCAUUUCCUCUUGUUCUUCUGUCAUAACAGAAUUCUCAGUGUUAGGAGGAAAUUCAGGUGGGUGAGUGUCACCAUAAAGACUAGUCAACUUGAAUGUAGGCUCAAAAGUGUAACACUGGUCAUUAGUAAUAUUCAAUACAAGCUCUCUUGUAGAGUAGGGAGGCACAACUUGUGGAUGAACAUCAAAAGUAGGAGCUUCAAGUAGGGUGGAGCCACAAAAGCAUGAACAGUAGGUGGAGCCUAGUAUGUGGUAGUCUUGGAUUGGGGAGUGAGAAAAUGAACAUUGGAAGUGGUUGGAUAUUGUUGCCCCAUAGUCGAUCCUGAUGCAUGUUGUGCCAUAUCAACAAAAAUGGGAAAUUGUGCAUGUGACAUGGAAGGCAAGCUAGAAAGAUAUUUCAGAUUAUUAGUGGGAACUGAAGGAGGCGGCAACCCAUUAGCCCAAUCUCGAUGCAUUUCUAUCAUUUGCUGCCUCAAUUUUCAAAUCUCUUCAUUAGCUCCUAAAUUCUCAUUUCCCGAACUCCCUAUCUGAUUAGUGACAACAAACUCGGUAUCCUUGUUGGCCAUAACCUUCUUUGUGACUUGGUGCAAUAUGGAGGACCAACCAAAAUGCCACAAACCAACCACCUCAAACUAACUGAGCAAGAGAUAGCAAAUGCGUUAGACUUCAACACUAUCUCAAAAUCUUUUUUUUUUUUGAAAAGUUCACCGAACCCAAAAAGGGCGCCUACGUAUCUCACCCCCGAGAGAGGAGAAUCAGGUGUGCGUAGUUCAUAAAGUCUUGCCAAAAUGGCCAAUUAAACUCUUUUUCCAUUCUUCCUUAUUUUUCUUGAAACUUAAAUAAGAAAAGAAAAUAAAUUUUUCAAAAGAAUCGACGAAAAUCUUUUUUGAAUUUUUCAGCUUCCUAUACAAAAUGAAACUUAUGAUAACCCAAAAAGAAUCUUUUUGGGUUUUCGAUUUUGCAUUUCAUAUGAAAAUGAAACUUGAACCUAUUAAAGGAUUUUUUUUGUGUGGUUUUCUUUUAGAAGAUGUAUAUGAACACCUACUCUAAAUGAAGAGUGAAGAAAAUCUUUUUAGAUUUUUCAAAUAAGAUCAACCAAAAAUGAAACCUACGACUAUUAAGGAAAAUCUUUUUGUAGUUUACUUUUCGAGGCAUAUGUGAAACACCUACUCUAAAUAAAGAGUAAACAAAAUUUUUUUUUCUUUUUAAAUAAGAUCCCCGAAUCAAUAGGCUAUCUACGUAUCUCACUCCCGAGAGAGGAGAAUCAGGGGUGCGUAGUUCAUCCAGAUUGGACAAUUAAGGAUUAAUUAACAAACUACACCAAACUUGAGAGACACGACCAAAGACUAACGAUGAAAAAUGUCAAUAAAAUCUUUUUUGGAGUUUUCAACUUGACACUCCAAAUAAAAAUGACACCAACAAUUAUGAAAGAAAAAAUCUUUUUGGUAUUUUCAUUACAUGAAAUGUACAAAUUUCUACCGGUUUUUUUGCAUUUUCUUUUAUAAAAAUUGCUAAAAAAUUUUUUUUUGAAAAUUUCGAAUUAUGAAUGCAUGCUAAAGGAGAAAAAGGAAAAUAUUUUUGAUGUUUUGGUUUUUGAAUAAAUGAGUGCAGAAAAUAAAGACAUCUUUUUGAAUUUUUGAAUUGUGAAAAACAAAAGCCAUAAAGAAGCCUAAAAACUACCAAAUCACUUUUUUUUUCACUCUUUUUUUUGUUCCUUUUUUCAAUAAUUUCCAUUUACACACAUUGCUUCUAACUCAUGUUUUUGCCCAAAUCAGUCUAUCAAAUGACCUCAUUACCCUCAAAUAUGCAACAUUUAGCACGUAGGGAUGCUUUAGAGGUGAGUUUCCUACAAAGGACCAAGUGGGCCCAGCUAGGUCUUCAAUAUGAUGCACAUAAGCAUGACCUAAAGGCUGACCUACGUUGGGGUUCACUAACAAGGCUAUUUGGGGAGGUAUGAUCGAUAGUUGCUGCUUUGCUUUCCACCUACUCCAUAACACCGAUGGCUCCCCCCUAAAAUAAGGGUGACUCAACUAAAGGUCGUGUACAACACGUGUACUACGGACUUGUUGCAGAAAGAAUGACUCGGGUUAUGUACAUGAUGCCAAAUAUAAAGCGUUAACACAUAAACAAAAGACUGUAAACAUGUAGUACGUAGGCACUCAAAAAUGAUAAAAUAAACAACAAACGAUAACACAAACAAUGUUUAUACACCCAUAAUGCCAAACUAAGCCAAUACGACUCCAAAAAUAAGCUCGAAUUCUGAAAAAUCUCCAGCGAAGUCACCAAAGCUGUCACACCCCUUUUUUAACUCAAAAAGAUUAGAUUUAUAGUUCGAAAGGAUUUUCAUUAUUAAAGUGACAAAAAAUUAAAAUUUUGUUUCGAAAAGAAUUAUUUACAUUUAAACUCAGAGUCGCCACUUGACAUAAAUCAGGUGUGCCAAGUCACCCGUGGAUAUCCUUUUUCAAAAUGGUUUUGACUCUAUAAAACUGAUCCACGAACAGAGAUUCCGGCUAAGAAAUUCUGUUGACCGAGGGGAAGGUGUUAGGCACCUCUUGAUCCCGUGGUUCGACCAUGGUCGCUUGGUGGAGUAUAUUGGCUAAUUUGAACACUAUGAAUGUAUAAAAUACACCAAACAUAAAUAAAAUGAUCAAUCAAGCAAACAAGUCCAAAAACAAUGUCCAGUCCAAUUAUACAAUCCAAAAUAGAAAAAAGAAUGCGAAAAUGUAAAUCCUAUUCUACCCUACACUAAUUUUAUACUACGCUCCCAUGCUACCCGAUGCAUCGGACCUUUAUCACAGACGUCCUCCAAAUACAAAAUACUUCGAGGCAUUCCCCGGCGAAUAAAUACAAGUGAUCGCGGGGCAUUCCCCGAUUAAAUGAAUACAUUUUCAAAUGCACGAACUAAAACCAAACCGUUCAACUCAAAUUCCACAUUCAAACAUUCAACAAGAAAACUUAUUCCUAAAUUUUUGCCUACCCGAACCAACAUUCGCCUAUCCAUUUCAACAUAUCAUAAUUUUAUCACAUUCCAACAAUAUUCAUGCUCAUUACGAAUUAAAAAAAACAACAAUAAACCAAAGGUAAUAUAAAUUCAACAUUUUUAUCAAUUUCUCAAUUUCAUCCCCCAAAUCCAUUUUUAACCACAUUAUUAAACUAGGUCGACUAUCAAAUCACUUUUCAAAAUCCGAAACCAACAACAUAUACCCCAACGAAGAUUCAAACAUUUAAGCAUACCAAUCAUUCAUAUUCACAACAACAAUUAACAUUUUGCUCGAAAUAUUCAAAACCGCACCACAAAAUCAUGAUAUUAACCAACUUCGAUAUAAUAAAAAAGUAGAGUUGAGAGAUAGACCUUUGAAGAAUCGAUUUCAUUGAUAAUAAAAUCAAGAAAGUCCGGACUAUAGAAUUCCUAAUAGGACCUCAACAAUGAUGAACUCCAACUCCGUAUUGAAAAAUUUGUGACCCAAAACUGAAGCUUCGUGAAUCCAAUCGAACCCGAAAAUCAACACUGUUCAUGGCACUGUUCAUGGCACUGUUCACGAUACUGUUUCUCUCUCGAUUUUUUUCUCUCUCACGCGAUUCUCUCUUCUCUCCCUCGUGUUUUUUUCUUCUUCUUGUGAGGAAGAUGACUUGGUGAUUGUUGUUAUUGUGGAGAAGAUGAUGAUGGAAGAAUGAGCCUCUCCCUUUUCCUCUUUUAGAAUUUUUCUUUUAUAUUUUUUAUUUGGUUUUCCUUUUUCUUUAUCUAUUAUCCUACGUGGAAGCAUAUAAUUGGUGACUUGUGGGAAUAAGUGUGUGGCAUGUAGAAAAGUUAGUGUGGCAUGUGGAAAGACGAGGGUGGCGUGUGGAAAAAUGAGUAGGGCAUGUGCCUUUUGCAUGUAUCCAAUGAAAAAUGAAAAGUGAGGUGUUGAGGUGGCAUAGUGAGGUGACAAAGAUGCUCUGUAUUUAAUUAUUUUCAAUUCUUUUUUGGGGGAGAAUUAUCAUGUUGACACAUCCAGAUUGCAUUAGAUCACUAUGGCGUUGGGAUAAGCCUUUAUGCGAGGAACUUGACUUAUGGGGUUGGAAUUCACUGGACGUUAAAUUAGGAUUACAAGACGUAGUUUCUGCCAUGCUGGGGUGGAAAAUAUCCUUAGUGUACCUUCCGGCAGGCAGUGAAAAUGACUGGACGAUAGCAAUUCACAUUGCAGCCAGUGAAGGUGAUCUAAACAUUAUAACUAAGCUAUUAAAUCACGUACAUAUACUCCUAUAGUCCGUCCCUCUUCUCCCGACCCCACACAUAGCGGGAGCUUGUGCACGGGGCUGCCCCCUUGAAUUCAAUGUUCCUAACCUUCCACUAUUUACCGACUGAACCCCAUCACUUUGUUAAGGUACUUAAGAAGCAACCUGUGAUGAUAUUCUCUUGUUUUUCUCUUUUUUCUUUUUUUGGUUCCUUCCUUUCUUAACUUGUAAAGUCGAGUAUGUUGUAGCUGCCUAAUGUGUUAGUCAUACAAUUUGGUGUUUGAAGUUGAUAAAGAUGCUACAAGAGCAAGCUACUGUAGAUAAUAUUACUUGUUAAUAAGAAGUACCGUUGCUUUGGUGAAAGAAUAGGCCUUGUGAUCUGAAACUUCCUAUGUAACUCACAUAGAGACCGGGGUCUAUGUUACAACCUUGACUGGCUUGCAGUUCUUCAAUCUUUUUUAUAAUGUUCUUGAGUGAUAGAUAUGUCAUCAACAUCUUGUUUCAAAAUUAAUAUGAAUUCAUAUUGUAUAAUAUUUUCAUUAUUAAAGAUAACUUACUUUAGAGCAAGCUAUAUGAUGUGUGAUCGGAGUUUUCCUCUCUCAAAUCAAAUAUGCCACUGCCUCUCCGAUACGAUUGGAGCUUUAAUUCUAGUAUGUUUCUUUACACUUCUCAUAAAAAAAUCCUUGCUAAACACAGUACCUGCAAUUUUGGACGGGGUCCCAGUAUAGCUAAUCUGAGCCCCUCCGCAAAGAUUCCAGUAAGGGAUUCUUGUAGAGGAAUAUGUUGUGUUUAGAGCAGCCACGGUAAAAGGCCUUUUCCGGAGCAUUUUACUUUGGUAUCCUUCUAUCGGCCUCUUCUUCUCUAUUCUUGAAUUAGAAUUCAAGUUGUUGGAAAUGUGCUGCUGGUUUUCAGUUUGGAUUUCGUAGAUCCGCGAGGAGCAUAUAUAUGUUGAGUAAAGGGAAAAGGAGCAACGUCCGCCAAUCUCACGCGGUUAUUAUUUUGGUAAGUUCCCUCUUUAGCUCAUGUAAGUUGUCUACAAGAUUUUCUUUGUUCCUCAACCUAAAUUACUAGUCAUGUUUUGUUCGUUUCUUAAGUAAUUGACUACUCUACAUGUUUGUUUUAGGAGGUUUAAUAAGUUGUUAAAACUGUUUAUGUUCAUGAUAUUCUUUCAAUUUUGACAUGAAAGCGAAAUACGAGAACAUCAAAAUCACGUUCUUAUGAUCAAGGCAAACACCAGAUCCCUUUUUUCUUAGAGAUUCAUUAAGAAUCUAAUUAUUUUUUUCUGUUAGGAUAAGAGACAUCAUAUCUGUCCAGAUUUUCAGCACAUAGAUUUCAGAUUAUAAAUGUGUAAUAUUUGUGUAACUAGCUUUUAAUACUAAGAUAUAGGAGAUAUUCUUAGAGAUUUAAUAGUUAGAAAUGACCGAUAUUAGAGGAUACAUGGCAGAUAUUAGGGGAUUCAGGGAAGAUCUUUAGGGAUGUACAAGGAGAACUCUUUCUAUUUAAUGACAAAACUCUCAACUUGAGAGAUCAUUCAGCAAAAUUGACAUUUUCUAUAUAAUAAUAUUUUGUCCAGAGAAAGAGAAGACUCAUAGGAUUAUCAUUGGGAGAUCUUGGAUAAAACAAACCAAAUCAAAAGGAAUGGAGUCGACCUUGUAUAAUGCUGCGAUGAGAGGCAAUAUCGGAGAUGGCAAUUUUCUGCUUCUUGAUCAUUUGAAAAGGAAAGAAGAAAAUGGCUACCAAGUCACUCCAAAAGGGCAACACGGUCCUCCAUGUCGCAUCCCUCUAUGGAAACUCCCAUUUCGAUGUGACCUUCAUUAGCUGCUAUGUGUAGCGCAGUCUCGUUCUUCUUAUUCUGAUGGCAUAACAAAGCCGGAGUAAUCUUAAAGACUUCUGCCGCAAAAUGGGAGUGGCCAUAAUGGGCCGCCACGUGUAAGAUUGUGUUUCCCGUUGGAGUGACUUGGCACUCAUUUUCUUCAUUCCUUUUCAGAUAUUCAGCAAGUAAGAAAUCACAGCAACAUUGUACAAGGUUGGAUCCAUUUUCGUUUCUUUUAUUUGGUUUGCCGGUGAGUUACUUACUUUGCUUUCUCUGGAUGAAAUAUUCUGAACACCACGCAGAUCUUUGCCUUUGAUCAAAAGAAAGGUAUUUAUUGUUUUCUUUGAUCCGAAGAAAGAAUUCGUAAAGAAAAACAACAUGAAUAAAAAACAGCUUUUCACUAUUUAAGAUCUUCUUAUGACCCUUUUUUCCAACACAAACAAAACUAGGUAAUUGAAAAUGAUAGAACAAGAAAAAUAUUAUGAUGCAGUCCAGAUAAAUUUGGAAAAUCAAGUUUUACCAAUCUUUUCAUAUUACAAAUUCAAUGCUUUAUUGUAAACAGAUGUGAAACAGAGAAGUAUAUGCAGAAAUUUUUAAGACUAAAGAUUUCCUUCUCAAGGCUUGAAGCUGUGUACGCUUCACACUAGCAGUGCUUUGAUAUUUCUUUUUUAUGGAGUCCCAAAUAUCCUUAGAAUUUUCUUUGUAAAGAAUAGUUUCUAGGAUGGGACGAUUGAUAGCCUGAAAGAGAUAAUUCUUCACUUUCAAAUCUUUCAGUUUUUUUGCUUCCAACUCUAUUUUUUGAGCAUUCGUUAAAAUUUUGCCUACUGCCGGAGUAUCGAUGCCAUCCUCUACAAUUGGCCAAUACUCAUUUGACCGUAAGAAAUUCUCCACCAGCAUGCUCCAAUGGUCAUAGUGACCAUCAAACUGAGGAAUUGUUGCUUGUACAAAAUUACUAUCUGAUGCCAUGAGUGUUACAGAAUAGUGAAGAGAGGUUUAGCUGCUGUUGUAUUUUUUUCUUUACUGCAGCAUCUCAUGCUCUCUCUGAUACCACUGUAAACAAAUGUGAAACAGAGAAGUAUAUGCAAAAAUUUUUAAGACUAAAGAUGGAGUCAAUACACUGAAUUUAAUGGAACUAUCUUGACUGAUAUUCAUAGUCGUAGGCUGCUGAUUUUAUACACAGAAAUAUUGUUCCUUCAUUGUUGAGAUCUCACAGGAAAUAAUACUUCACAUCAAUGUGCUUGCUUCUUCCAUGGUUCACAGGAUUCUUUGACAACUUGAUUGCAGAAUUGUUGUCACAAAAUAUCAUAGUAGCACUUUCCAUCUUGAAUUGCAACUCUUUAGGGAUUCUCCUAAGCCAAAUAGCUUGACAAGCACAAGCUGUAGCAGCAACAAAUUCAGCUUCUGUACUUGAUAAUGUGACAACUAUUUGCUUUUUGGAAGACCACGAUACAGCCCCUGUGCCUAGCAUAAAGACAUAUCUGAUGUGCUCUUUCUACCAUCUUGAUCUCCUGCAUAAUCUCUAUCAGUAAAGUCAAUCAAAUCUGCCUUUUCUCCCUUCCUAUAGAAAAUUCCAAAAUCCUUGGUUCCUUGUAAGUAACGAAGAAUUCUCUUCGCAGCUAAGAGAUGCAUUUCAGUUGGGCACUCCAUAUAUCUACUUACAAGACUAACAUCAUACAUGAUGUCUGGUCUUGUAGCAGUUAGGUACAUUAGACUACCCACAAUUUGCUUGUAAAAAGUGCUAUCCGUCUUUUUUCCGCUCCCAGCUUUGGUUAGUUUCAAGCCAAACUCAACUGGAAUGUUGGUUGGAUUGCAAUGCUGCAUCUUAAACCUGUUUAAAAUUUCUCUCACGUACUUCUUUUGGGAAACAAAUAUGCCAUCAUCAGAUUGCACUACUUCUAAACCAAGAAAGUAAUGCAUCUUACCAAGAUCAGACAUCUCGAAUUCAUCCAUCAUACACUUCUUGAAAUUAGAAAACAUGUCACUAUUAUUCCCCAUGAAGAUGAGAUCAUUGACAUACAAACACGCAAUGAGCAUUUUUCCAUUCUCCCCAAUUUUCACAAAAAGUGUAGGCUCAUAUGGACACUUUUGAAAACCCAUUUUCUGAAAAUAAGCCUCAAUGCGACUAUACCAAGCCCGUGGGGCUUGUUUUAGUCCAUAAAGAGCUUUCAUUAAUCGAUAAACUUUAUGCUCACUUCCAAUCUUAACAUAUCCAGGGGGUUGUUCGAUAAAUACCUCUUCCUCCAAGCAUCCGUGUAGAAAUGCUGAUUUGACAUCCAAUUGGAAGAUCGGCCACGAAUUUUGUGCUGCCAAGGAAAUUAGCAUUCUAAUAGUGUCAUGCCUUACAACUGGAGCAAAAACUUUAGUAUAAUCCACACCAUACUCUUGCUUGUAUCCCUUAGCCACCAAUCGCGCCUUGUCGAUUUCACCAUUUUCUUUCAGUUUCGUCUUAUAGACCCACUUAACACCAAUAAUCUUGUGUUUCUCAGGAAGAUCAAUAAGUUCCCACGUAUCAUUCCUUUCAAUAGCUUCAAUUUCAUCAUCCAUCGCCUUUCUCCAUUUUUCUUCUUUAACAACUCUCAAAAAUAAUCGGGUCACAGUCUACAAACAAUGCAAAAUGGUUAACCGCAUCAUUAUUUGCAUUAAUUCCUGUUACCUCAUAGUCCAUCAUCCACACGGGCUUUUUGCGAGCACGAUGAAGAGACUGAGCUGCUGCAUCAGUUUCUUCUAAAGCUGUUGGUAAAGUUUCAGCAGUUGGUGAACUUUCAGCAAGAGUUGGUAAAAUUUCAGUAGCUGUGGGAGUUGAAUUCACUGCACUUUCGGAUAUUACAUCUACUUCUUCAGCUCCUGUAUCAAAUAUGAUUGGAGUAGACUGCUGCAUACUCCAAUCCCAAGUGUUUUCUUCAUUAAAAAUAACAUCUCUACUGAUUACAAUCUUCUUUGUCAGUGGAUUAAGCAAUUUAUAUGCCUUUGAUGCUUCACUAACACCGAGAAAGAUACAUUUUUCGCUUUUGUCAUCAAGCUUCUUCCUCUUCUUGUCUAGAAUAUGCGCAUAGGCAAUGCAACCGAAAAUUCGAAAGUGGUCCACAGUUGGUUUUCUUCCACUCCAAGCUUCCUCUAGAGUCAUGUUUUGAACAACAAAUAUUGGACUUCUAUUUAAUACAUGAUUGAUCCAAUUUACCGCUUCUGGCCAGAAAGUCUUUUCCAUUUUUCCUUUGGCCAGCAAACUCCACACCAUAUUGAGAAUGGUUCUAUUCUUCCUCUCUGAUACACCAUUUCGCUGUGGUGUAUAAGCAGUGGUGAGCUCUCUUCGAAUUCUACUAAAUUCACAAAAAUCUUCAAAGAGUUUUGAGCAAUACUCGCCCCCACGAUCAGUUCGAAGAGUCUUUAUGACCCUUCCGGUUUCAUUUUCUACAUGAGUCUUGAAGCUUUUAAAUGCUCGAAAAGCUUCUGAUUUUUCUUGUAAAAAAUACACCAAAGUUUUUCGGGAAUAGUCAUCCGUAAAGGUAAUGAAAUACCUUUUACCUCCAUUAGAAAUUGGUUUAAUUGGGCCAAGAUAUCUGAAUGCACCAGCUCCAAAAUACCCUUUGCUCUCCACGACUUCCCUUUUUGGAAAUUGAGAACCAUGUUGCUUGCCAACAACACAUUCUUAACAAACUUGGGAAGGGAUGAUGAUUUCUGGAAGACCGAUCACCAUAUUUUUCUAUUGGAGAGUUUUUAAUCCACCAAAACCCAAGUGACCAUAUCUAAAAUGCCACAUCCAUGAGGGAUCUUUUACUUCCGCCUUUAAACAAGACUGAAUACUCUCAAUAUUCAAGGGAAAUAAUCUCUUUGAAUUCAUUUUUGCAACAGCAAUAGCUCCUCUAGUAGGACUAUAAAUCUCACAAACAUCUUUCCCGAUGAAAAUAGAAUAUCCUUUUUCUUGCAAUUGUCGAACACUCAAUAAGUUGCUUUUUAAAGUGGGAACAUAAAACACAUUUAAUAUUAUUUAUUCAAAACCAUUCUUGGGUUUAGUUUUAAUAUCACCUGUUCCCAUUGUAUCCACAGUAGAGCAAUGUCACGACCCGAACCAAGGCCUGGCCGUGACGAGCAUUUCGAACCAUAGAGGCCCGAAACACCCCUAUCUGUCACGUAAUUAUGCACCUAAUUCAUAUGAUCAAAGUAAUGCGGAAGAAACACAAUAAUUCGGAAACAUGGUCAUAAAUAUGAAAAGAAACAAUAACGGGGAGAUAAGGUUCCCUCAACAUCAAUUAACCUCUAAACAACUGUCUGCGAAAAUAUCUAACAAAUGACUGAGUCAAGUAACCGUAUAUAAACUGGGACAAGGCCCCCAGUAGACCCUAAAACUGAAUAUAAAAUAAAAGGACUGCAGGACAUAAGACCUUUCGAAAUAUAAAAGGCUCACCACUUGUCUCUACAUCUCUUGACCCCUAGACUGGGCCUCUGAACCUGAGAGGUUGGAGAGGGGAGGGGGUCAGCACAAAAGUAUUGGCACGCAGAGUCAAAACAAAACAUAAUAUUUUUUACAAUACAUAGUUGAGAGCCAUUAUAAAGCAAUUUCGUAUCAAAUCAUUUGAAAACACAUGGGUGUAAUGCAAUAGUUUUCUCAAUAAUAAUGAAAUGCAACUGAGUUAGGUGGAAUACCCUAUAUAAUUUACACCAACUGUCAAACCUCGAUUGCCGCCGAGAUUAGAGUAUAAGUGAGGGAGAGACACACAAGAUCACAUAGCAUGGUGUCUCGACCCAAUGGUAGUGCCCAAGAUCACUUGGCCUGGGCUCCUACCUAUAGUACCAAUUUGGGAAUGACAUGAAGUCAAGUACACAAGAUCACUUAGCCUGGUACCAAUAUUCCGUGUCGACAAACACGUUUUACAGCGAUGAGCCCUUGUAUCUCAAACGCCUUCUUCGGGCAUCCACCUUUCUCAUGUAAAAUCAAUGCAUUCAAAUUUUAUCUUAUUCAAUCACAUAUCAUAUUCUGAAGGGUAUCAUCAUACCUGACUUGCAAGUCAUGAAUAUCACAUCAACAUAUGCAUAAUCAUGUAAAAACCAAGGUGCUUCAUCAUUUACAAGUGGUGAACAAUAUUUAUUUCAAAUUCAUGCUCUUUUUUGUUGAUCACAAUACAAUAUGGAGUAUCGAAACAUUAUCAUGGGAAUUUGAAAAUAAUUUAUCAUUCAUAUUUAUCAAACUUCCAUGGAAAAUCUCAAAUCACAUAUGCAUGGUUUCAACCAUUGAAGUAUAUAGGCAAACAAUUCCCAUGACAUAAAGAAAAAUGACUUAGAAAUCAUAUUGAAAGCAAGNNNNNNNNNNNNNNNNNNNNNNNNNNNNNNNNNNNNNNNNNNNNNNNNNNNNNNNNNNNNNNNNNNNNNNNNNNNNNNNNNNNNNNNNNNNNNNNNNNNNNNNNNNNNNNNNNNNNNNNNNNNNNNNNNNNNNNNNNNNNNNNNAUGUAAUUAUCUUUGAAAACCUACGGUCAAAUCUUGAACUAUUUGGGUUUUUAUUUUGAAACCCUAAGGAGAAUCAUUGAGCACUUUUGAUGAAAGAAUAAGUAUUUUGGGGUCCUUGGAACUAGAUUUCGUGUUUUAGGGCUAAGUAAGGGUGGAAAAGGACCACUUUGUCCUCAACACGGAGUGUUUAAGUCACUAGAUUUCUUUACAUAGGCGCCGCCCAUCCCAUUGCCUAUGUUCACAUAGGCGCCGCCUAGGCUAUCGCUUAUGUUUACAUAGGCGCUGCCUAGGCUAUCACCUAUGUUUACAUAGGUGCCGCCUAGGCUAUUGCCAAUGCUUUCCUGUGGCCAUGGGCGAUUGAUUAGGCGACGCAUAUCACUUUGAAAGGCCAUAACUUCUUGCUCGGGUGUCGGAUUUUAGCCAAAUUGGUAUCGUUGGAAAGAUAACUCGAAUACCUAUCAUUUGACACAUAGUAGGCUUUAUAAUUCGACAUAUACAAAGAGUUAUGGUCGAUGGAAGCUGACAUACUUUACAACAUCCACUAAAACUUAGUCGAUCGAAAUAGUUUCAACUCAUCCUUGAGUUGAAGGAUCUCUAUGGUCUAAAUUCAAGCUUGAAUGGAUUCACAUGCUACACAAUAAUUAACAUACCGUAUUGGGAUAGGAUUUUAUGGCUUCAGAAUUAACAACGCAUCGAAAUCAUGAUCUAUAUUGUAGCCCAAAUUGUGGGGCAUUACAUUAUCCCCCCCUUAGGAUCAUUCGUCCCCGAAUGAUGAUGUAGGACACAGACAGACAUGAUUUCAAGCAUAAUAAAGGACUAGGAAAGAUAAUAUAGGAAUAGUACCUUCUGUCUCCUUCUCUAUCGAAGCAAACAAAUUAGGAUACCAAAUUCUCAUGUCAUCUUCUGACUCCCAAGUUGCUUCUUCGACUUUAUGAUUCCUCCACAGUACCUUCACUGAGGCUAUCUCUUUGCUCCCCAGCUUUUGAAUUUGGCGAUCUAAAAUUUCAACGGGCUCUUCUUCAUAAGACAAGGAGUCUGUCACUUUGAUACCCUCUACUGGCAAUACCAUAGAAUGAUCUCUAAUGCAUUUCUUCAACAUGGAUACAUGGAAUACCGGAUGAACGGAACCCAAACUUGCAGGCAAUUCUAACUCAUAUACAACUGUACCAAUCUUUUUCAAAAUCUGAUAUGGCCCUACAUAACGAGGGCUCAAUUUACCCCUUUUUCCAAACCGCAUCACUUCUUUCAUAGGAGAAACCUUGAGAAACACCCAAUCACCAAUUUCAAACUCUAGUUCUCUUUUUCAAACAUCAGCAUAAGACUUCUGACGACUCUGAGCAGUCUUGAGUCAUUCUCUAAUGAUCUUCACUUUCUCCAUCAUCUAAUAAACAAGAUCAAGCCCCCAUCCUAUCGGAGAUCUACAUCUCCUCUCAUACAAAGGUUAAAAAGGAGCCAUCUUGAUGCUGGCAUGGUAGUUAUUAUUGUAAGCGAAUUCAACUAGUGGCAGGUAAUCUACCCAACUACCUUUGAAAUCAAUGACGCAUGCCCUCAACAUAUCUUCGAGGGACUGAAUGGUGUGCUCAGCUUUUCCAUCCGUCUGAGGGUGGAAAGCUGUGCUCAAAUUCACUUGUGUACCUAAACUCUUCUAAACGGAUCUCCAAAACUGAGAUGAAGACCGCAUAUCUCUAUCGGAUAUAAUGGACACUGGUGCCCCAUGCAAUUCAACUAUAUCCUCAAUGUAAAUCUUAGUAUAAACCUCUCCCGAAUAAUUUGUCCUCACAGGCAAAAAGUGGGUUGACUUGGUCAACCAAUCUACAAUCACCCAUAUAGAAUCAUACUGGUUUUGGGAUCUCAAAAGUCCUGUAACGAAGCCCAUGUUUAUCAUCUCCCACUUCCAUAAAGGCAGGGCUAUCUCUUGGGAAGUACCACCUGGCCUCAUGUGUUCUACCUUCAGUUGUUGACAGUUCAAACACUUGGACACAAAAUUAACUACAUCAUGUUUCAUGUUAUUCCACCAAUACAAGGUUUUCAGAUCAUGGUACAUCUUAGUAGAGCCUGGGUGAAUGACAUACCUCGAAGUGUGCGUCUUAUUAAGGAUUCUUUCCCAUAGCCCAUCGACAUUCGAAAUGCACAACCUACCCUAAAAUCUUAGAAUACUAUCGCCACCGAUUUCAAACGACAAAACCUUUUGUUGACCCACAUCUCUCUUGAUUUGCAUCAAGAUGCGAUCUUCAACCUGUUUCUCCUUAACUUUAGCACAAAGAGAUGACUUAGCUAACUCAUGAACAAUCACCCCUCCAUCUUUGGAAUCUAAGAGUUGCACUCCCAGAUUUGCAAGGCGGUGAAUAUCCUUCACCAUCUCUUUCUUUCCUUCUUCUACAUGAGAAAGGCUGCCCAUAGACAACCUGCUGAGGGCAUCGGCUAUAAUAUUUGCCUUGCCCGAAUGGUAAUAUAGACUCAUAUCAUAGUCUUUUAAAAGCUCCAUCCAAUGUCUCUGCCUGAGGUUCAAUUCUUUCUGUGAGAAAACAUACAGUAAACUCUUAUGGUCAGUAUAAAUAUCAACAUACACUCUAUAGAGAUAGUGCCUCUAGAUUCUAAGUGCAAACACCAAGGCUUCUAACUUCAAGUCAUGAGUGGGGUAAUUGCAUUCAUGCACCUUUAACUGCCUAGAUGCAUAAGCUAUCACCUUACCACGCUGAAUCAAUACACAACCAAGUCCCACAUGGGAUGCAUCAUAAUAAACCACAAAAUCAUCUACACCCUCGUGAAGUGUCAAAACAGGAGCAGUAGUCAUCUUUUCCUUCAAUUUCUCAAAACUGUUUUCACACAAGUCAGACCACACAAACUUCAUCAUUUUUUGAGUCAGUUUAGUAAGCGGAGCAGCUAUGGAAGAAAAACUCUCUACGAACCUUCUGUAAUACCCCGCCAAACCCAAGAAGCUCCGAAUAUCGGUUAGAGCCGUGGGUCUGAGCCAUUUUCUUACUGCUUCAACUUUCUGGGGAUCCACUCUUAUCCCGUCACUGUACACAAUAUUCCCUAGGAAGGCAAUAGCGUCUAACCAGAAUUCACACUUAGAAAAUUUGGGAUACAACUGAUGAUCCUUAAGGGUCUGAAGAAUAAUUCAAAGGUGAUUGGCGUGAUCCUCUUUACUCUUAGAAUAGAUCAGAAUAUCAUCAAUAAAUACAAUAAAGAACAAGUCGAGAAACUGAUGGAACACUCUAUUCAUAAGAUCCAUGAAGACUGCAGGGGCGUUAGUCAACCCGAAGGACAUGACUAGAAAUUCGUAGUGACCAUAUCGGGUUCAAAAGGCUGUCUUGGGUAUGUCUGACUCCCUAACUGUCAACUAAUGAUAACCCGAACAAAGUUCUAUUUUUGAAAACUACUUGGCACCCUAAAGCUGGUCAAAAAGGUCAUCAAUCCUAGGAAGAGGAUAUUUAUUUUUAAUCAUGACCUUAUUCAACUGACGGUAGUCUAUGCACAUCCAAAGGGACCCAUCCUUAUUUCGCACUAAGAGCACGGGUGCACCCCAUGGGGAAACACUAGGAUGAAUGAAACCUUUGUCUAGGAGGUCUACAAGCUGUUCCUUUAAUUCCUUUAGUUCUGCGGGAGACAUUCUAUAUGACGGAAUAGAAAUAGGGCGAGUGUCUGGCAACACAUCAAUGCCAAAAUCUAUCUCCCUAUCAGGGGGUAUUCCUGGAAGAUCUUCGGGAAAGACUUCUGGGAAUUCAUUCACUAUUGGGACUGAUUGCAGAGGAAGGUUUCCAACUUUUAAAUCUUUUACUCGGAUUAGAUAAUACAUACAACCUUUGAAAAUAAGCUUUUGGGCUCUAAGAUAAGAGAUAAAGUGACCUCUAGGUUCCACAGAACUCCUUGCCCAUAUAAUUGGUGUAUCACUCGGAAAAGAAAAAGUGACCUUUCGGGUUCUGCAAUUAAGGGUGGCAUAACACGAAUGGAGCCAGUCCAUCCCAAGGAUAGCAUUAAAAUCUAUCAUAGCCAGUUCUAUAAGGUCUGCCACAGUUUCCCUACUAUGAAUAGACACGACAAAAUUUCUAUAUACCCUUUUAGCAACAACAGAAUCACCUACAAGAGUGGAAACAGAGAAGGGUUAUACAAUAACUUCGGGCUCAAAUCCAAAACCAACAGCCACAUAAGGGGUCACAUAAGAUAAAGUAGACCCGGGAUCAAGCAAUACAUAAAAAUCAUGAGAAAAGAUCCGUAACAUACCGGUGAGAACAUCUGGUGAAGCUUCCACCUCCUGGCGGUUAAUCAAAGAAUAUAACUGGUUGCGACCGCUUCCGAUAGCUGAAGGGGCACCCUUAGGAAAAGGAGCUAUGGAGGCGGCUUGGGACUUAGCCCCCCCUGCAUUUACUCCAGCAGAAGGACAAUCUCUCUGAAGGUGACCCACUUUACCACAAGUAUAGCAGUUUCUCCCCUUAAACCAGCACUUUCCUAGAUGAUUCCUUCCACAAACCUUACACUGUGGAUGAGUACGACGCUACUGGGCCACACUGCCCUGAGACUGUGUACCUAGAGCUUUGGACCCAUGAGGAGUCUGAAAACUCUGAGUUUGUCUAUCUGUCAGCGGUCUGGGUGCUGGGGUGCUAGCUGCUGAUUGUGCGUUAUUCCAAAACUUCUUCUUCUUCAACCACUUAUUACCCCAACUACCAUUUUAUGGCUGACUCUGGUGCUGGUCCGUAGAUCUAGCUCUCUUAGCCUGUCUGUCUUUCUCUCUAGAUUUAGCAAUCUUUUUCUUUUUCUCUUCCACCUGCUGCAUAUGAACGGUCAGUCGAGCAAAGUCUAACUCCUUAUUCAACAUAGCCCCUUGGCACUCAAGUGCCAGGUUAUCAGCAAGGCCAGAUGCAAAUUUCCUCAUCCGGGCUCUCAUAUUACUAGUCAACUCUAGUGCAUAGCGGGCUAGUUUAUUAAACUUAAAAGUGUACUCCUGGACACUCAUACUGCCCUUCUUCAGAUUCAUAAACUCUUUCGCUUUGGUCUCCCUCAAAUCCAGAGGAAAGAAUUGAUCAAGGAAAUCUUCCACAAAUUUGCCCCGAACUGUGGGCUCAACACUUUCACCUUUUUCAUCUUCCCAGUCGGCAUACCACUGAUUUGUAACGUCGUUCAGCUGAUAGGUUACUAGCUCCACCCCUUCAACCUCAUCCACAUGCAUCACCUUAAAGAUCUUUUCCAUCUCAUCCACGAACACCUGUGGAUCUUCCUCCACCUUGGUGCCAGUGAAUUUAGGUGGGUUCAUCUUUAUGAAAUUUCCGACUCUAGUAGCCUCAGACGUAACAGAUGCAGACCCAACAUCUUUCGAUCAUUGAUCCUGGUUAGCUAUCAACUGUGUCAGCAUAUAAAUGGAUCGUCUGAAUUCUGCAUUUGAAAUAUCUCCCUGAUCAGUUGGGGGACGGUUGGCAUUAGUCUGCGGAUCCCAAAGUGUACUGGUCGGGAUCAGAAGGACUCCUAAAGUAGGGACAAAUUCUGGAGUUUGAGCCCUAUUACGGGUCCGCAUCCCAUGGGUGGGACGGACCUCAUCUGCCUGAGCAUUCUGAUCGAUGAUACGACAUGGAGGCAUAACUAUGUUUCUGAAACACAAGUGAUCACUGAUUAGAGGACAGUUCAAACUCUGAAGCACAAACUAAAUCACAAAGAAGGGAAAUAUUUCCUAAACACCUAGUAGCCCCCUGCUUAUAAGUGUGGCACACUACACACCCAUAAAUAAGAUUCUACCUGAUGCGAUUUUGCAGACACUGUGGGACGAUGAAUCAUGCUCUGAUACCAAUAUUGUCACGACCCAGACCAGGGCCAGGCCGUGAUAAGCAUUUAGAACCAUGGAGGCCCGAAACACCCCUAUCUGUCUGGUAAUCAUGCAUCUAAUUCAUAUGAUCAAAGUAAUGCGGAAGAAACACAAUAAUUCAGAAACAUGGUCAUAAAUAUGAAAAGAAACAAUAACGGGGAGAUAAGGUUCACUCAAUAUCAAUUAACCUCUAAACAACUCUCUGUGAAAAUCUCUAACAAAUGACCGAAUCAAGUAACCGUAUAUAAACUGGGACAAGGCCCCCAGUAGACCCUAAAACUGAAUAUAAGAUAAAAGGACUACAGGACAUAAGACCUUCCAAAACAUAGAAGGCUCACCACUUGUCUCUACAGCUCUGUCUGAAAGAUCUAAUGAUUCUCUUGACCCCUAGACUGGGCCUCUGAACCUGAGAGGUUGGAGAGGGGAGGGGGUCAGCACAAAAGUACUGGCAUGUAGAGAUAUAAAAAAACAUAAUAUUUUUUACAAUACAUAGUUAAGAGCCAUUAUAAAGAAAUUUCGUAUCAAAUCAUUUGAAAACACAUGGGUGUAAUGCAAUAGUUUUCUCAACAAUAAUAAAAUGUAACUGAGCUAGGUGGAAUACCCUACAUAAUUUGCACCAAAUGUCAAACCUCGGUUGCCACCGAGAUUAGAGUAUAAGUGAGGGAGAGACACACAAGAUCACAUAGCAUGGUGUCUCGACCCAAUGGUAGUUCCCAAGAUCACUUGGCCCGGGCUCCUACCUAUAGUCCCAAUUUGGGAAUAACAUGAAGUCAUGUACACAAGAUCACUUAGCCUGGUACCAAUAUUUCGUGUCGGCAAACAGGUUUUCCAGCGAUGAGCCCUUGUAUCUCAAAUGCCUUCUUUGGGCAUCCACCUUUCUCAUGUAAAAUCAAUGCAUUCAAAUUUCAUCUUAUUCAAUCACAUAUCGUAUUCUGAAGGGUAUCCUCAUGCCUGACUUGCAAAUCAUCAAUAUCACAUCCACAUAUGCAUAAUCAUGUAAAAACCAAGGUGCUUCAUCAUUUACAAGUGGUGAACAAUAUUUAUUUCAAAUUCAUGCUCUCUUUUGUUGAUCACAAUAUAAUAUGGAGUAUCGAAACAUUGCAUGGUUUCAACUAUUGAAGUAUAUAGGCAAACAAUUCCCAUGACAUAAAGAAAAAGACUUAGAAAUCAUAUUGAAAGAAAAAUAUUAGCAUUUGAUUGAAAACCCCCAUUUAAAAGCAUGCAUGUUCAUAAAAACUACACUCAUGAGAUUUUUGGAUAACCCUACGUACCUCUAUUUCCAAGGAUAAUAGAUGUUUCUUGAAGCUUGCGGAUUGGUGAUUCCAAAGAUGUAAUUAUCUUUGAAAACCUACGGUCAAAUCUUGAACUAUUUGGGUUUUUAUUUUGAAACCCUAAGGAGAAUCAUUGAGCACUUUUGAUGAAAGAAUAUGUAUUUUGGGGUCUUUGGAACUAGAUUUCGUGUUUUAGGGAUAAGUAAGGGUGGAAAAGGACCACUUUGUCCUUAACACGGAGUGUUUAAGUCACUAGAUUUCUUUACAUAGGCGCCGCCCAUCCCAUUGCCUAUGUUCACAUAGACGCCGCCUAUGCUAUCGCCUAUGUUUACAUAGGCGCCGCCUAGGCUAUCACCUAUGUUUACAUAGGCGCCGCCUAGGCUAUUGCCUAUGCUUUCCAGUGGCCAUGGGCGAUUGGUUAGGUGACACAUAUCACUUUGAAAGGCCAUAACGUCUUGCUUGGGUGUCAGAUUUUAGCCAAAUUGGUAUCGUUGGAAAGAUAACUCAAAUACCUAUCAUUUGACACAUAGUAGGCUUACUAAUUCGACAUAUACAAAGAGUUAUGGUUGAUGGAAGCUGACACACUUUACAACGUCCACUAAAACUUAGUCGAUAAAAAUAGUUUCAACUCAUCCUUGGGUUGAAGGAUCUCUAUGGUCUAAAUUCAAACUUGAAUGGAUUCACAUUCUACACAAUAAUUAACAUACCGUAUUGGGAUAGGAUUUUAUGGCUUCGGGAUUAACAACGUAUCGAAAUCAUGAUCUAUAUUGUAGCCCAAAAUGUGGGGCAUUACAUUAUCCCCUCCUUAGGAUCAGUCGUCCCCGAAUGAGGAUGCGGGACACAGACAGACAUGAUUUCAAGCAUAAUAUAGGACUAGGAAAGAUAAGAUAGGUAUAGUACCUUCUGUCUCCUCCUCCAUCGAAGAAAACAAAUUGGGAUACCAAAUUCUCAUGUCAUCUUCUGACUCCCAAGUUGCUUCUUCUUCGUAUGACAAGGAGUCUGUCACUUUGAUACCCUCUACUGGCAAUACCAUAGUAUGAUCUCCAAUGCAUUUCUUCAAUAUGGAUGCAUGGAAUACCGGAUGAACGGAACCCAAACUUGCAGGCAAUUCUAACUCAUAUGCAACUGUACUAAUCUUUUUCAAAAUCUGAUAUGGCCCUACAUAAUGAGGGCUCAAUUUACCCCUUUUUCCAAACCCCAUAACUCCUUUAAUAGGAGAAACCUUGAGAAACACCCAAUCACCAAUUUCAAACUCUAGUUCUCUUCUCCAAACAUCGGCAUAGGACUUCUGACGACUCUGAGCAGUCUUGAGUCGUUCUCUAAUGAUCUUCACUUUCUCCAUCGCCUGAUGAAGAAGAUCAGGCCCAUACAACUGAGUCUCACCCACUUCAUACCAUACUAUCGGAGACCUACAUCUCCUCCCAUACAAAGCUUCAAAAGGAGCCAUCUUGAUGCUGGCAUGGUAGUUAUUAUUGUAAGCGAAUUCAACUAGUGGCAGGUGAUCUACCUAAUUACCUUUGAAAUCAAUGACUCAUGCCCUCAACACAUCUUUGAGGGUUUGAAUGGUACGCUCAGCUUGCCCAUCCAUCUGAGGGUGGAAAGCUGUGCUCAAAUUCACUUGUGUACCUAAACCCUUCUGAACGGAUCUCCAAAAUUGAGAUGAAAACUGCAUAUCUCUAUCGGAUAUAAUGGACACUGGUGCCCCAUGCAAUUAAAAUAUCUCCUCAAUGUAAAUCUUAGCAUAAACCUCUCCCGAAUAAUUAGUCCUCACAGGCAAAAAGUGGGCUGACUUGGUCAACCGAUCUAUAAUCACCCAUAUAGAAUCAUACUGGUUUUGAGAUCUCGGAAGUCCUAUAAUGAAGCCUAUGUUUAUCAUCUCCCACUACCAUAAAGGCAGGGCUAUCUCUUGGGAAGUACCACCUGGCCUCAUGUGUUCUACCUUCACUUGUUGAUAGUUGCAACGCUUAGACACAAAAUCAGCUACAUCAUGUUUUAUGUUAUUCCACCAAUACAAGGUUUUAGAUCAUGGUACAUCUUAGUAGAGCCUGGGUGAAUGACAUACCUCGAAGUGUGCACCUCAUUAAGGAUUCUUUUCCAUAGCCCAUCGACAUUAAGAACGCACAACCUACCUUGAAAUCUCAGAAUACGAUUGCCACCUAUUUCAAACGACAUAACCUUUUGUUGACCCACAUCUCUCUUGAUUUGCAUCAAGAUGGGAUCUUCAACCUGCUUCUCCUUAACUUCAGCACAAAGAGAUGACUUAGCUAACUCAUGAACUAUUACCCCUCCAUCUUCUGAGAAAGGCUGCCCAUAGACAACCUGCUGAGGGCAUCGACUACAAUAUUUGCCUUGCCCGGAUGGUAAUGCAGACUCAUCUCAUAGUCUUUCAAAAGCUCCAUCCAAUGCCUCUGCCUGAGGUUCAAUUCUUUCUGUGAGAAAACAUACUGUAAACUCUUAUGGUCGGUAUAAAUAUCAAUAUGCACUCCAUAGAGAUAGUGCCUCCAGAUUCUAAGUGCAAACAUCACGGCUUCUAACUUCAAGUCAUGAGUGGGGUAAUUGCAUUCAUGCACCUUUACCUGCCUAGAUGCAUAAGCUAUCACCUUACCAUGCUGCAUUAAUACACAACCAAGUCCCACACAGGACGCAUCAUAAUAAACCAUAAAAUCAUCUACACCUUAGGGAAGGGUCAAAACAAAAACAAUAGUCAUCUUGUCCUUCAAUUUAUCAAAACUGUUUUCACACAAGUCAGACCACACAAACUUCAUCUUUUUCUGAGUCAGUUUGGUAAGCGGAGUAGCUAUGGAAGAAAAACUCUCUACGAACCUUCUGUAAUACCCCGCCAAACCCAAGAAGCUCAGAAUAUCGGUUGAAGCCGUGGGUCUGGGCCAUUUUCUUACUGCUUCAACUUUCUAGGGAUCCACUCUUAUCCUGUCACUGGACACAAUAUUCCCCAGGAAGGCAAUAGCUUCUAACCAGAAUUCACACUUAGAAAAUUUGGCAUACAGUUGAUGAUCCUUAAGGGUCUGAAGAAUAAUUCGAAGGUGAUUGGCGUGAUCCUCUUUACUCUUAGAAUAGAUCAGAAUAUCAUCAAUAAAUACAAUGAAGAACAAGUCGAGAAACUGAUGGAACACUCUAUUCAUAAGAUCCAUGAAGACUGCAGGGGCGUUAGUCAACCCGAAGGACAUGACUAGAAAUUCGUAGUGACCAUAUCGGGUUCAAAAGGCUGUCUUGGGUAUGUCUGACUCCCUAACUGUCAACUGAUGAUAACCCGAACAAAGUUCUAUUUUUGAAAACUACUUGGCACCCUAAAGCUGGUCAAAAAGGUCGUCAAUCCUAGGAAGAGGAUAUUUAUUUUUAAUCAUGACCUUAUUCAACUGACGGUAGUCUAUGCACAUCCGAAGGGACCCAUCCUUAUUUCGCACUAAGAGCACGGGUGCACCCCAUGGGGAAACACUAGGAUGAAUGAAACCUUUGUUUAGGAGGUCUGCAAGCUGUUCCUUUAAGUCCUUUAGUUCUGCGGGAGCCAUUCUAUAUGACGGAAUAGAAAUAGGGCGAGAGUCUGGCAACACAUCAAUGCCAAAAUCCAUCUCCCUAUCAGGGGGUAUCCCUGGGAGAUCUUUGGGAAAGACUUCUGGAAAUUCAUUCACUAUAGGGACUGAUUGCAGAGGAAGGUUUCCAACUUUUAAAUCUUUUACUCGAAUUAGAUAAUACAUACAACCUUUGGAGAUAAGCUUUCAGGCUCUAAAUAAGAGAUAAAAUGACCUCUAGGUUCCACAGAACUCCCUGCCUAUACAAUUAGUGUCUCAUUCGGGAAAGAAAAAGUGACCUUUCGGGUUCUGCAAUCAAGGGUGGCAUAACACGAAUGGAGCCAGUCCAUCCUAAGGAUAGCAUCAAAAUCUAUCAUAUCCAGUUCUAUAGGGUCUGCCAUAGUUUCCCUACUAUGAAUAGACACGACACAAUUUCUAUAUACCCUUUUUGCAACAACAGCAUCACCUACAAGAGUAGAAACACAGAAGGGUUCUACAAUAACUUCGGGCUCAAACCCAAAACCAACCGCCACAUAAGGGGUCACAUAAGAUAAAGUAGACCUGGGAUCAAGCAAUACAUAAACAUCAUGAGAAAAGAUUCGUAACAUACCGGUGAGAACAUCUGGUGAAGUUUCCACCUCCUGGCGGUUAAUCAAAGAAUAUAACCGGUUGCGACCGCUUCCGGCAGCUGAAGGGGCACCCUUAGGAAAAGGAGCUAUGGAGGUGGCUUGGAACUUAGCCCCCCUGUAUUUACUCCAGCAAAAGGACAAUCUCUCUGAAGGUGACCCACUUUACCACAAGUAUAGCAGUUUCUCCCCUAAAACCAGCACUUCCCUAGAUGAUUCCUUUCGCAAAACUUACACCGCAGAUGAGUGUAACGCUGCUGGGCCACACUGCCCUGAGACUGUGUACCUAGAGCUUUGGACCCAUGAGGAGUCUGAAAACUCGGAGUUUGUCUGUCUGUUGGUGGUCUGGUACUGGGGUGUUGGCUACUGACUGUGCAUUAUUCUAAAACUUUGUCUUCUUUAACCACUUAUUACCCCAGUUACCACUCUGCGGCUGACUCUGGUGCUGGUCUGCAGAUCUAGCUCUCUUAGCCUAUCUGUCUUUCUCUCUAGAUUCAGCAAUAUUUUUAUUCUUCUCUUCCACCUAUUGCAUAUGAAUGCUCAGUCGAGCAAAGUCUAACUCCUUAUUUAACAUAGCCCCUUGGCACUCAAGUGCCAGGUUAUCAGCAAGGCCAGAUGCAAAUUUCCUCAUCCGGGCUCUCAUAUUACUAGUCAACUCUGGUGCAUAGCGGGCUAGUUUAUUAAACUUCAAAGUGUACUCCUGGACACUCAUACUGACCUUCUUCAGAUUCAUAAACUCUUCCUUUUUGGUAUCCGUCAACUCCAGAGGAAAGAAUCGAUCAAGGAAAUCUUCCACAAAUUUGCCCCAAACUGUGGGCUCAACACUUUCACCUUUUUCAUCUUCCCAGUCGGCAUACCACUGAUUUGCAACGUCCUUCAGUUGAUAGGUUUCUAGCUCCACCCCUUCAACCUCAUCCACAUGCAUCACCUUAAAGAUCUUUUCCAUCUCAUCCACGAACACCUGUGGAUCUUCCUCCACCUUGGUGCCAGUGAAUUUAGGUGGGUUCAUUUUCAUGAAAUUUUCGACUCUAGUAGCCUCAGACGUAGUAGAUGUAGACCCAACAUCUUUCGAUCGUUGAGCCUGGUUAGCUACCAACUGUGUCAGCAUAUGAAUGGAUCAUCUGAAUUCUACAUUUGAAAUAUCUCCCUGAGCAGUUGGGGGACGGUUGGUAUUAGUCUGCGGAGCCCAAGGUGGAAUGGUCGGGACUGGAGAAACUCCCAGAGUAGGGAUAAAUUUUGGAGUGUGAGCCCUGUUACGAUUACGCAUCCCAUGGGUGGGACAGACCUCAUCUGCCUGAGCAUUCUGAUCGAUGAUACGACAUGGAGGCAUAAUUGUGUUUUUGAAACACAAGUGAUCAUUGAUUAGAGGACAUUUCAGACUCUGAAGCACGAACUAUAUCACAAAGAAGGGAAACAUUUCCUAAACGCCUCGUAGCCCCCUGCUUAUAAGUGUGUCACGCUACACACCCAUAAAUAAGAAUCUACCUGACGCGAUUUUGCAGACACCCUGGGACCAUGAAUCGUGCUCUGAUGCCCGAAACACCCCUAUCUGUCUGCUAAUCAUUCACCUAAUUCAUAUGAUCAAAGUAAUGCGGAAGAAACACAAUAAUUCAGAAACAUGGUCAUAAAUAUGAAACAAAUAAUAACUGGGAGAUAAGGUUCCCUCAACAUCAAUUAACCUCUAAACAACUGUCUGCGAAAAUCUCUAACAAAUGACUGAGUCAAGUAAUCGUAUAUAAACUGGGACAAGGCCCCCAGUAGACCCUAAAACUGAAUAUAAGAUAAAAGGACUGCAGGACAUAAGACCUUCCGAAACAUAGAAGGCUCACCACUUGUCUCUACAGCUCUAUCUGAAAGAUCUACUAAUUCUCUUGACCCCUAGACUGGGCCUCUGAACCUUAGAGGUUGGAGAGGGGAGGGGGUCAGCACAAAAGUACAAAACAUAAUAUUUUUACAAAAUAUAGUUGAGAGCCAUUAUAAAGCAAUUUCGUAUCAAAUCAUUAGAAAGCACAUGGGUGUAAUGUAAUAGUUUUUCUCAACAAUAAUGAAAUGCAACUGAGCUAGGUAGAAUACCCUACAUAAGUUACACCAACUGUCAAACCUCGGUUGCCACCGAGAUUAGAGUAUAAGUGAGGGAGAGACACACAAGAUCACAUAGCAUGGGGUCUCGACCCAAUGGUAGUGCCCAAGAUCACUUGGCCCGAGCUCCUACCUAUAGUCCCAAUUUGGGAAUGACAUGAAGUCAAGUACACAAGAUGACUUAGCCUGGUACCGAUAUUCCAUGUCGGAAAACACGUUUUCCAGCGAUGAGCCCUUGUAUCUCAAACUCCUUCUUCGGGCAUCCACCUUUCUCAUGUAAAAUCAAUGCAUUCAAAUUUCAUCUUAUUCAAUCACAUAUCAUAUUCUGAAGGGUAUCGUCAUACCCGACUUGCAAGUCAUCAAUAUCACAUCCACAUAUGCAUAAUCAUGUAAAAACCAAGGUGCUUCAUCAUUUACAAGUGGUGAACAAUAUUUAUUUCAAAUUCAUGCUCUCUUUUGUUGAUCANNNNNNNNNNNNNNNNNNNNNNNNNNNNNNNNNNNNNNNNNNNNNNNNNNNNNNNNNNNNNNNNNNNNNNNNNNNNNNNNNNNNNNNNNNNNNNNNNNNNNNNNNNNNNNNNNNNNNNNNNNNNNNNNNNNNNNNNNNNNNNNNNNNNNNNNNNNNNNNNNNNNNNNNNNNNNNNNNNNNNNNNNNNNNNNNNNNNNNNNNNNNNNNNNNNNNNNNNNNNNNNNNNNNNNNNNNNNNNNNNNNNNNNNNNNNNNNNNNNNNNNNNNNNNNNNNNNNNNNNNNNNNNNNNNNNNNNNNNNNNNNNNNNNNNNNNNNNNNNNNNNNNNNNNNNNNNNNNNNNNNNNNNNNNNNNNNNNNNNNNNNNNNNNNNNNNNNNNNNNNNNNNNNNNNNNNNNNNNNNNNNNNAUUGGUGAUUCCAAAUAUGUAAUUAUCUUUGAAAACCUACGAUCAAAUCUUGAACUAUUUGGGUUUUUAUUUUGAAACCCUAAGGAGAAUAAUUGAGCACUUUUGAUGAAAGAAUAUGUAUUUUGGGGUCCUUGGAACUAGAUUUCGUGUUUUAGGGAUAAGUAAGGGUGGAAAAGAACCACUUUGUCCUCAACACAGAGUGUUUAAGUCACUAGAUUUCUUUACAUAGGAACCGCCCAUCCCAUUGCCUAUGUUCACAUAGGCGCCGCCUAGGCUAUCGCCUAUGUUUACAUAGGCGCCGCCUAGUCUAUUGCCAAUGCUUUCCAGUGGCUAUGGGCGAUUGGUUAGGCGACGCAUAUCACUUUGAAAGGCCAUAACUUCUUGCUCGGGUGUCCGAUUUUAGCCAAAUUAUUAUCGUUGGAAAGCUAACUCGAAGACCUAUCAUUUGAAAUAUAGUAGGCUUCCUAAUUCGACAUAUACAGAGAGUUAUGGUCGAUGAAAGCUGACACACUUUACAUCGUCCACUAAAACUUAGUCGAUUGAAAUAGUUUCAACUCGUCCUUGAGUUGAAGGACCUCUAUGGUCUAAAUUCAAGCUUGAAUGGAUUCACAUGCUACACAAUAAUUAACAUGCCAUAUUGUCAUAGGAUUUUAUGGCUUCGGGAUUAACAACGCAUCGAAAUUAUGGUCUAUAUUGUAGCCUGAAUUGCGGGGCAUUACAAGCAAUCACCAAAACUAACUUUAGAACGAAAGCCUUCAUUUAAAUAAGAAAAACAAGACUUACUCCCACUCAUGUGAUUACUACAGCCUGUGUCCAGAUCCAAACAUCUUGCACAGGUUUUUCUUCUGUGUCUAUUUCCAUAAACAAGGUCUUGGUUUCGUUGUUUUUAAUAAAAUUUGACUUCUCACCCUUGUCACUAGGCAGCCUAAUGUAGCACUCAGACUGAUAAUGACCAAAUUUAUGACAUCGAUAGCAUUCGACUUUUGAUUUAUCAAAAUUCUUUCCCCUGCCUUUGCCAUCAUUAUUGGAUCUAAAAUUUCUGCCGCCAUCUCUAUUUCCUCUAGCUUCUCUCCCUCUUUCUCUACCUCUACCUCUACCCCUUCUUCUAGAAUUUGAAGGAACAAAAGUAGAAGCCUUCAAGGCUUGCUCCUCAGAAGUUGAACUACGGCUCAUCUUCUAUUCAUGCACUAAUAGGGAGCUUUGUAACUCAUCCACUGAUAACUCAUCUAUAUCUUUUGAUUCCUCAAUGGAGCAAACUACAUAAUCAUACUUCGAUGUCAAAGAGCGCAAUAUUUUCUCAACAAUUGUGACAUCAGUUAUUUUCUCACCAUGGAAUCGCAUUUUGUUACUAAUCUCCAUUGUUCUAGUGCAAUAACUUAUUACGGAUUCUCCUUCCUUCAUCUGCAGAGUCUCGAAAUCCCUUCUCAAGUCUUGAAGCUGUGCACGCUUCACUCUAACAGUGCCUUGAUAUUUCUUUUUAAUGGAGUCCCAAAUAUCCUUAGAAGUUUCUUAGCAAAGAAUAGUUUCUAGGAUGGGACGAUCGAUUAUAUAAGAAACUUUUGCCUCUCAUAUCAACUUGUAAAAUCUCAAGUUCCCUUUUGACAUUUGAAAUUAUUUUUGUACCCGAAAUUGUUUUGAUUGCAACAUUCCUUUUUCCUUCUGCAGGAAUAUAGUCACCAUUCCCAAUUCAGAUUUUCUUAUUUUUCAAAGGUAUAGUAAAUAAACGUAUCCUUUAACUUAGCCUCAUCUGGCAUUUAUGUUAUCCUACUUCGUGUGAGCACGAGUAAUAACUUAAAUUUAUAUAAAGUUGAACAAGUACACACAUCCUAUAUGUCAUCUAUGUGGAAAUCCUAUAUAUGGCAAAAUUUGCCCAAACCCAAAUGACCCGCCCAACCCACCCAAGGUUUCAUGGGUUAGAGAAAGAGUGAUUUUGAUAAUGGGUUAAUUUGGGCUAGCCCAAGUCAACCCAUUACAAAUCACUAACCCAAAUAGACCCAUGAUGAUGCCCAAACUUGAUCCAUCAAAUUACUUAAAGCUUUUACAAAAUCCUAUUUUAUUAAUGGGGGGCAUACAAAAAUAGUCUAGGUUUCAACUAAAUGAGAGUGUUUCUAGCCGAACUUUCAAAAUUACAAUUUAUAGCAUUUCUUUCUUCUUUUUUUUUUUUAUUUUUUUACUUUGUUUUAUCUCUAGCAUCUACUUCUCUUUCUUUUCCAUUUUUUUUACUUUUUUUUUGUUUUUUUCCUUUUUAAUUUUCUCUUUUUUGUUUUUUUCUCUUUCUCAUUUUUUUUUUGUUUUUGUUGUAUUUUAGGUAGGUAGGCAGCCAGUUAGGCAGGUAGGUAGAUAGAUAGAUUUGUAUUUUUGAAAAAUAAGGUUUCGUCGAGUACGUACAAGUCAUGGAAGAUGACAGAUACAUCAUAACCGGUCAUUUAUUUAUAUUCAACAUCAUUUUUUUUCUUUUAUCUCUUUUUUAUUUUUUUUUACUUUUUAAUUUUCUCUUUUUUUCUCCUUUCUUCUAUUUUUCAUUUUUUUCUUUUUUUUUUGGUAUUUUCUUCUUAUUUUUGUUUUUCUCCUUUUUUCUCCUUUUAUUUUUUCAUUUCUUUUUUUAUUUUAUUUUAUUUUCUUUAUUCUAUUUAUAGCUUAUAUUUCUCUUUCUUUUUUGAAUUUUUUAUUCCUCUUUUAAAAAAUAUGGCUAUGCGGAGUACAAGUUAUGAUUGAUAACGAAAAAUACCACAAUGACUUAUUGUAGUUAUAUUUGCACUAUCAUUUAUAUUUUCGUAUUUAUUGAUACAAUUGCAUUUGUAUUUUAUGACUCACGCUUGUAUUUGUAUUUAUAUUUUAUAGUUGAUACUUGUAUUUGUAUUUUAUAAUUCUACUUGUAUUUGUAUUUUAUAAUUCACAUCAUCAUUGAUAUUUUUGUAUUCGUUGAUACAAUUGUACUUGUAUUUUAUAGUUCACGCUUGUGUUUAUAUUUAUAUUUUAUAGUUUGCACAUGUAUUUGUAUUUUAUAGUUCUCACCAUUAUUUAUGUUUUAUACGAUUUAUCUUUAUUGAUACGAAUUGCAUUUUAUUAAUACAAACUGAAUACAAAUAUAAAUGAUAAAUUAUAAAAAUAAAAUGUUAAACUGUACAAAUACAACGUUUACAUUUGUAUCAAAUGAUACAUGUUUAUACAAUUUGAACCAUACAUAUAAAAAUGACACUUGUUUUUAUAGAAAUGCAAAUGAUAAACUUAACAUACAAAUACUAACGAUACAUUUACAUUGAAUGACAUAUUGCAUAUUAAAUAUUUUAGACUCAAAUAAAUAUAAUUAUUCCUUAUAACUAUUUGUAUACAAAUAUAAAUGAUAAAUUAUAUUCAUGGCUAAAAUAUUCAAAUAUAAAUAAUAAAUUUAUUUGAAAUACAUAUGAUACAAAUAAAUAAAAAAUUUAAAAAUACAUAAAAUAUAAAAUACGAAAAAAAGGAGGAAAAACGAAAAAGAGAAAAAAGAAAAUAAAAAAAGGUUUCAAAGAAAAAAGUAAUAAAAUCAAAAAAUAGAUUAAAACAAAAAAAAUAGAAAAUAGAAAAAAUAAAAAGGCAAAAUGGAAUAAAAAAUGAAAAAUAAAAAAAAGGGGAAGGUAAAAAAGAUAGAAAAAAGGAAAAAACUUGGUGCUGUUUAUAAUUUGAUUAAAUUUGCAUUUGGGUGGGUUGGGUUGUACUCAUUACCCAUAGUUUAGCCUAUCUUGACCCAAGUGCAUUUGGGCAUGAUUGGGCAUUAGCCCAAUUAUUUGUUCAACCCAUCUUGACCCGCCCAACUUCAACCCAACCCGCCCAUUUUCACCCCUACUCCUCUCCAUUUGCUUGCUGCCUCUAGUAACUAUGUGCCUGAAUUAAUAAACCAUCCUAGAGCAAAGAGGAUGUCAUUUAACAAACAAAAUCAGACUGCACUUGAUAUAGCAUUGUCAUGCACAAUGACAACAAAGAAGAUAAGCGAUCGUACAUUUAUUUUUCAAAUAUUGGUUGCACUUGAGUAUAUGCUGGUGAAAUAUUGAAAUACUAGUUCAAUGAUUAUAUCAAGAGAAAAGAAUGAUUUGCAUGCACUCACAAAUCUUAAGUUUUUUAUCCGUUCUUGAUGUAGUGUUGAAACAUCAAGUAAAACUGUAAUUCUAUUUCUUGAUCUACCUUCGCCAAAAUUUAUUUUUACAUGAUAUCAGUAUCUCCUAAGCUAUGAACAGAUUAGUUCUCAGUUAAACAAGUUACUGUGUUAAUAUUUUUGACUGACUCAAUAAAAACUGUACUAUUGAUGAAAAUAGGAGAAAUUGGUCAAGGAUUUGUGUAGCAUUGACAGUUUUGAAAAACGUGACUUUGAGGUAAAGCGGAAGUACGAGUACAUGCACAAUCCAAAUGGUAAAACGGGAACAGGAGUCAAAAUGCGACUGAGGAAAGUUGAUCACGAUAAAGCUAAAAAGGCAUAUCAAACAGAAGUCGAAAGUAUUAUGAAGGCAGCUCAAAUCCAUAUUGUUGUGGCCACUUUGAUAAUGACAGUCACUUUUGUCACUGGUAUCACAUUGCCAGGAGGUUUUGAGAGCGACUCUGAUAACCCUACUCAAGGGAUGGCGAUUCUAAUAAGGAAUACAACAUUUCAUGCAUUUGUUGUUUCCGAUGUAAUUGCCUUCACAUUCUCAGUUGUUUCCAUAUUCGUCUACUUUCUCAUGGAAGAUACAAGUAGAGAUCCUCAAAGUAAAAAAAUUGUAAAGAAGAUUUAUGAUCUCGCAGGUAUUUUUUAGUGCUUGGCAGUUGUAAUUGCAUUUGCAACGGGUAUAUUUGCUACCUUAUCACAUUCUCUUGGUCUUUCCAUUACUAUCUGUUCCAUAGGUUACCUCUCUAUUUUAUUGUACUUCUUGAUUGCUAUCUAUAUUUGUAGAUAUAUAAAGAAUAUAAGCGAGUAGCAUUGUCGGUGACGAAAAUUCUGCUACUCGCUUAUAUGUUCAUUUAUCUUGUUUUGACAGCAUAACAAUGCCAGAGUGAUCUUAAGGACUUCUGCCACGAAAUGGGAGUUGCCAUAAAGGGAUGCGACAUGGAGGACCGUGUUGCCCUUUGGAGUGAGUACGUAGCCGUUUUCUUCAUCCCUUUUCAAAUGAUCAGAAAGCAGAAAAUUGCCAUCUCCGAUAUUGCCUCUCAUCGCAGCAUUACAGUAUGUUGUGUUUAGUGCAGCUACGGUAAAAGGCCUUUUUUGCCCAAUAUCGGGGAUGGGAAUUUUUUGCUUGUUGAUAAUUUGAAAAGGGAUGAAGAAAAUGGCUACCAAGUCACUCUAAAGGGUAACACGGUCCUCCAUGUCGCAUCCCUCCAUGGCAACUCCCAUUUCGUGUCAGAAGUCCUUAAGAUCACUCCAGCAUUAUUAUGCUUUCAAAACAAGAAAAAUGAAACCGUUCUUCAUAUAAGCGAGUAGCAGAAUUUUCGUCACCGACAAUGCUACUCGCUUAUAUUCUUCAUAUAUCUACAAAUAUAGAUAACAACCAAGAAGUACAAUAAAAUAGAGAGGCAACCUAUGGAACAGAUAGUAACGGCAAGACCAAUGAAAUGUGAUAAGGUAGCAAACAUACUCGUUGCAAAUGCAAUUACAACUACUAACAUUGACAAGCACUGAAAAAUACAUGCGAGAUCAUAAGGCUUCUUUACAAUUUUCUUACUUUGAGGAUCUCUACUUGUAUUUGUCAUAAGGAAGUAGAUAAAUAUGAAAACUGCUGAGAAUGUGAAGGCAAUGGCAUCAGAAACAAUAAAUGCACGAAAUGUUGUUUUCCUUAUUAGAAUUGUCAUCCCUUGAUUAGGGCAAUCAGAGCCGCUCUCAAAACCUCCUGGCAAUGUGAUACCAGCGGCAAAAGUGUCUGUCGUUAUCAAAGUGGCCACAAUAAUAUGGAUUUGACCUGCCUUUAUAAUACUUUCGACUUCUGUUUCAUCUGCCUUUUUAGCUUUAUCAUGAUCAACUUCCCUCAGUUGCAUUUUGACUCCUGUUCCCGUUUCAGCAUUUGGAUUGUGCAUGUACUCGUACUUCCGCUUUACCUCAAAGUCACGUUUUUUAAAACGGCUGAUGCUACACAAAUCCUCCACCAAUUUCUCCUAUUUUCAUUGAUAAUACAGUUUUUAUUGAGUCAGUCCAAAAUUUUGACACAGUAACUUGUGUAACUGAGAACUAAUCUGUUCAUAGCUUAAGAGAUAAUGAUAUCAUGUAAAAAUAAAUUCAUGCGAAGGUAGAGCAAGAAAUAGAAUUACAGUUUUACUCUAUGUUUCAACACCACAUCAAGAACGAACAAAGAACUUAAGAUUUGUGAGUGGAUGCAAAUCAUUCUUUCGCUUGACAUAAUCCUUGAACUAGUAUUUCAAUAUUUCACCAGCAUAUACUUAAGUGAAACCAGUAUUUGAAAAAAAAAUGUGCGAUCGCUUACCUUCUUUGUUGUCAUUGUUCAUGACAAUACUAUAUCAAGUGGAGUCUAGUUUUGUUUGUUAAAUGACAUCUUCUUUGUUCUAGGGUGAUUUAUUAAUUCAGGCACAUAGUUACCAGAGGCAGCAAGCAAAUGGAGAGGAGUAGGGGUGAUAAAUGGGUGGGUUGGGUUGAAGUUGGGCGGGUCAAGAUAGGCUGAACAAAUAAUUGGGCUAAUGCCCAAUCCUGUCCAAAUGCAUUUGGGUCAAGAUGGGCUAAACUAAGGGUAAUUGGUUACAACCCACCCAACCAACCCAAAUGCAAGUUUAAUCAAAUUAAAAACGUCAUCAAGUUUUUUUCCUUUUUUCUAUCUUUUUUACCUUUUCCCUUUUUUUCGUUUUUUAUUCCAUUUUUUCCCUUUUUUUGUUUCUUUUUUCCUUUUUAUUUUUUUCUAUUUUUUCUGGUUUUUUUCUUUCUCUUUUUUUCUUUUUUCAUUUUUAAUCUAUUUUUUGUUUUUAUUACUUUUAUCUUUGAAACCUUUUUUUCUCUUUUUCGCUUUUUUUUUCAUUUUUUGGCAAUUCCUUUUUCUUUUCUCUCAUUUUUUUUAUUGUUGUUGUCGUAUUUUAUAUUUUAUGUAUUUUCUAAAUUUUUUAUUUAUUUGUAUCAUAUAUAUUUCUAAUAAAUUUAUUAUUUAUAUUUGAAUACUUUAGCCGUGAAUAUAAUUUAUCAUUUAUAUUUGUAUACAAAUAGCUAUAAGGAAUAAUUAUAUUUACUUGAGUCUAAAAUAUUUAAUAUGCAAUGAGUCAUUCAAUGCAAAUGUAUCGUUAGUAUUUGUAUGUCAAGUUUAUCAUUUGCAUUUCUAUAAAAACACGUGUCAUUUUUAUGUGUAUGGUUCAAAUUGUAUAAACAUGUAUCAUUUGAUACAAAUGUAAACAUUGUAUUUGUAUAGUUUAACAUUUUAUUUUUAUUAAUUUAUCAUUUAUAUUUGUAUUGUUAAUUUUGUAUUAAUAUAGGAAUAUAUUUGACUCUCCUUACAAAGAUUACGGGUUAUACUUAAUUCAUUUUCUCACAAAUUUUAGGAGUAAUUUCUCACAAAUGAAUAUUUUUUAACUUCGUUGAUUCAACAACUACUUUAGAUUUUUAAAAUCACCUUACAUAUCAAUUUGCUUAGCAUUAUUUAAGUUUUUUUGUUCUUAUUUCAUUUUUUCCAUUUCCUUAUUUAGUGCAAAAAUAUAUGAAAUAUUUUUUAAAAAUAAAAUAGAAUCAUGAAUGAAUUAUAGGAAAAAAGGAAAAAAAAUUAGACAAACUUUUGUUUACAUUUAAAAUAAAUAACCUUACAUAGUUUUCUUUUUCUAUAUUCCCUCAAUUCUUUUCCAACUUAAAUUCAUAUUUCUUUUAUAAUUUUUUUCGUUAAAACAAGUGAUGGCAAAUCAAUUAGAUGAUUGAUCAGGAAUCAAUUUUCACACACAAUUUUUUAUUUACCAAAAAUAGCCAUAGAAAAUAUAGUAGACUUAGUUUAAUUUCGGGGAAAAAAAUAGAAUUCGUUCUGUUAUAACAAGGAAAGAAAUAAAACAUCAUUCACGUUCUAAAUUCCUAUAAUUUAGGCCUACAACUUUAAUCCUAAAUUUAGAAUUUUUUCAUAUAUUAAUUAUUUUAUAUAUGAUAAAAUUUUAAUUGAUUUAGAAGUGUUACUUUAAUUUUUCAUAAGAAAAUAACUGAAAAACUAAUUUUGCCUAUUGCGAAAACUUUUAAUGAAGGUAUUUCAAACAAUAUUUCUAAGGUCUUUCACAUUUUAAUAUACUAUCGACUAUAGAUAUAGAUAAAUACAGUAGCAUUUUAGAUAAUAUUAUUUACUUUGUCCAUCAUUUCUUGUAAAUUUUACGACAAUUAUCCUUUGCAUGACAUAAUGUUAUUUCAAUUUCAAUAUUUUUUAGGUUUACGGGUACUUUUUGGUUAUAAAACCUUACGAGUUAGAAUGUAACUUUCCUUAAUGGAUAGAAAACUUACUUGACUGAUCAGGAACUAGACAAAUCGCAGGUUGAUAUAAUUGUAGCUCCUUCCAAAGUAAAGUGAAGUCCCAACACUCCUCAUAACACCGACAUCUUGUACAAGAGAUUCCAACAACGAAUGGUUGCUUCGUAACUGCUUCUUCUGCAAAAUGGAACUACUUUGUGAUAUAUGUUGUAAAUUUAAAGAAGAUUAUCUCUAAUGGUAAUAAAGGUUUUAUCAAAAUAAGACAACUAAAUACAACAAGAAAAGAACAUAUCAAUUAAAUAUUUGAGAAAAAAUAUUAAGUGACACACAAUAAACAAUGAUAUAAUUGAGAUACAAUAUUUAUUUGUAUCAUAUAAAAUACAUAUAGCAAUUAUUUUAAUGUCGACUUGCUACUUUCUAACGGGUAACGCACAUAUGCUAAACUAUUAUAUAUAUAUAUAUAGAGAGAGAGAGAGAGAGAGAAAUGUACUAGUAAAAAUAGCAAGUAAAAGGAAAUUGGCAGUGUAUAUAUAAUUGUCGGAGAAGAUAUCGUGUGAGGACGGCAAAUAGAAAAGGCACGGUGGUGAAAGGUGGCUGACGGUGGAGUUUAGAUAAGAAACAUUUUCCAUAGUGGGGUGACAAACCAAGUUCUCUAUAUGCUUUAGAUCUCAUGAAGUGUUUGUUUAUUUACCAAACCUACAACAAGCUACGGAAUAUUUCUAUGCUUCAUUCUAUUCUAUUCUGAUUUGUUCCUUCAAAACUUCCCAGAACACGAAUCUUCCUAGUCUAAAAGCUCCCGGGUAUAGGUCAUGUUACAGGAUACAGAGAGAUAAGGAAUACGACGUAAAUGAAGAUAUGUGGAAAGAUUGUAUAACUGCAAAUGAUAUAGUAACAAAUUUAGCACAUACAUUUGUAAAUGAUAUAGUAACAAAUUUAGCACAUGCAUUUGUACUGUGGAAGCUCACUAACACAAUGCUCCAUGUAAGAAAGCAGAGAUUAGCCACUUCUAUAGUGUUCUGACUAACAAACCUUUCAGAGUUGCAAUUCUUCUUUCAUUAUUAGUAUUUUUUAAAGAAAUUUAAAGUUGGGCUUCAUGCCCUUUUAUUGAAAGAAAAAAGGGUUUAUAAAAAUGACAUUAUAGAUAUUUUUCAUAGUUUAUAGAACUUAGGAACCGUUUGCCUAUGGAUUAUAUUCACUUUAUUUCAAAAAAUCAUCUCUCUUUAUUUAAAAAUCUUUGUUGACGAUAAAAAUACCAAACACAACUUUUAAAAAAUCCUAACUUUUUAUUUUCAUAAAAAUAACCCAAUAUAAAUUAUAUUUCAUUUUAAAUUUUAAAUUUUAAAAUUUUAUUACAAAAACUAUGACUAAACGCAAUUCUAACUCCAAACUGAAAUUUCAAAUAAAAUUUUUUUUUUCAUUAAUAAUAAUAAUAAUAAUAAUAAUAAUAAUAAUAAUAAAGAAGGAUCUUCAACUCGAUGACGCGACGCUCUAAUAUUUGAUUAUUGAUAUUUAUCUUUUAUCUCAAAUUUUUGACAUUUAUUCUUCAUUUUAAUUCAUUUGCUCAAUUAAAAAAUUAAAUAAAAAAAAAAACUUGUUGUUUUCAGUUACAAAAAAACUCAUCAAAAGCUUUUUUCAAAACUCAAUUGUCCCCUACUUUAAUUUUUUCGUUCAAUUACUAUUGUUACUGCUAUUACAUAUGGAAAGGUGCUACUUUAAUGCCCAUUAUUUAGGUCAUUAAGACUCACAAACUUUUUAGUUAUUCCUACUACUUUAUGCCCAUUAUUUAGCUCAUUAAAACUCUCAAACAAAAUUGAAAAGAGUAACUUUGAAGGACUGUUCCACAUUUGGAAUCAAAACCGAAAUUGAAUUUAAAAUUUUGCCAACCAAAACACUAAUGUUUUAAGUGAAAAAUUAAUUAGGCGGAAAAAGGUAAAUAAUUUAUUUCUAAAAUAAAUUGUCAUAUUCUUUCUUAAAUGAAUAAAAUUAGAAGGGAAAGUGUACAAAAAUUAAGACAAAGAAAGCAAUAUUUGGAAUUCUUAUCUACAUUUUCUAAGACUCAUCCAUUAGUAAUAAAAGUUUAGAAUAUUAAAAAGGUUAAGUUCUAUAUAUCAAUCUUACACAAAUACAUUUUGGAAAAAUUAAAUACAUAUCCUUUAUAAUAUGAAAUCAAGUUAAAUAGUAAAUUCACCAUCAAUUUUAUUUUAUAUCUUUAGUAUAACUUUGAUUUGUAAUAAUAGGCUAUCAAACAUUUUUCAAAAAUUAGCAAUCAAUACUUAUUGUCGAACUUUACUUGGAGUUAUCUUAUAAAUUGACAUGAUUUACUCACAAACUUUUUGAUUAUUCGUAGUACUUUAAUGCCCAUUAUUUAGCUCAUUAAGACUCACAAAUUUUUCAAUUAUUCAUACUACUUUGAUGCCCAUUAGUUAGCUCGUUUAGACUCACAAACUUUUCAAUUAUUCGUACUACUUUAAUGGCUAUUAUUUAGCUCAUUAAAACUCGCAAACUUUUCAAUUUUUUCAUUUAAACAUAAGGCUUUUAUUUUAUAUAACAAUAAAUUGAGAGGUCACAUCGUAGUUUUUAGGACAAGUUUAAAAAUAUUGUAAUAAAAUCUUUAUAAUUAGUUGAAUUUGAAAAUAUAAUAAAAUCUUUAUUAUAUAUUUGAAUUUGAAAAUAAUAAUACUUUAAAAUAAAAAAAAAAGAUUUUUAUUAUCUUAAACCUAGCAACCAUAGUUGAAGAAUCCUAAAUAAACUCUAUAUUUGAAUGUUAUUUGAUAUUGUUCCUUGAGUUACAUGUUGUUGUUUCCUAGUUGAAAAGAAAAACAAAAAAAUACAUGACCAAAAAAAUAAAAUAAAAGUCAGGUUGAAGAAUAAGCUUGAAAAUGGGUUUUGUUGAUUUUGUGUUUGGUUGAAGAAAUUGUUGCUUAGAAGUUGUUGGUAAAGUUGUGGGGAAGUUAUAUCUCAAAUUUGAGCUCAUUUGUUUGGGUAUUGAAGAGGAUGAAUUUGAGAAUUAUAAAAUAGUUCAAAUCUUUCAAACUUGUUUCUUCUUUUCUUGUUAAUUCUAGCUAGUUUGCUUUGAGUAUUAAUUCAUACUUAAUAUUAAACUAGUUUGUGUCCAUUUAAUUUACUCGUGUCAAUUUUUUUUCGUGUUUUUUUUCUUUCAUUUCAUUGUAUGUUUAUUUGUUUCCUUGUCCGUUAGUUUUAAUUGUCCGUUCUAGAUUACAUAAACUCCACUCCAUCCCGAAGAAGUGGUAUGUUGACUCUCAAUCUUGGGUUAUUCAAGAGUGGUAACAAGCAAGAGUGAGGUACAAUGACUCAAUUGGAGGGAGAAUCCGCUCGCGAAAUGGAAUUUUUUCUUCAAAAUUUAUUGGAAGAAAUGAAGGAAAUGAAGGAAAAAUUAGAAGAUGUGGAUAGAAGGGUGAGAAAUCAAAAAAUAGCAAAGCAACCACUUAAGGUUUUCAAUCCCAUUGGUCAACAUGAUGAGGGAUCAAGUAAGACUCCUCUUGAUACAACUCCUUCCCACAUAGUAGUGCAAGAUACCCUCUCUCCUAAUGCUUUUGCAAACAAGCAACCCUUUUAAAGGGAGGGGGGGGGGGGGAAUCAACAAAGAAAUCUUCCACCACAAGGCAAUAGAACUCAAAGAAGAGCCCAACAUAACCUUGAAGAGCAUGAUUCUUUUGAUGGUGAUAAUUAUGAUUAUGGAGCCAAUGAUCAAGUUCAACAAGAGAGAUUAGGUGGGAGAUAAAGAAGGGGGAUAGUAGAGGGUGGUAUCCGGUUGAUGGUAGAGAAUACAAUAGAAGUAAUGAUGAUGAAGAUUGAGGAUUCAACAACAUCACGGUUACCCUUCCAUUCUCCAAAGAAGUAGAGACCCUAAUGAAUAUUUUGAUUGGAUUGUGAAACUUGAAAGGCAAUAUAAUCUCAACAAUGUGAGUGAUGUUAAAAAGGUGAAUUAUGCUAUAAGUCACCUUGAGGGUGUUGCUUCUACAUAGUGAGAGAAAAUUUAAAGAGAUGCUUUGGUGAAUAGACUUUGUUACAAGUUGGAAUGAUAUGAAAAAACGUAUAAGAGAAAGGUUUGUGGGUCAAGAUUAUGAUCAAAAUACACUCAAGAAGUAUUACAAUCUUCAACAAGGAAGUAAGAGUGUGGAAGAGUAUUAUGAGGAGCUGGAGCAUACUAGGCUUCGAGCCAAUGUCAAUGAUGAAGAUGUGAAGCUUAUGGCAAGAUUUAUCUCGGGCUUAAAUAAAGAGGUAAGGCAACCAUUGGAAUUGCAUCGUAUUUCUACUUUACAUGAAGUUAUCAAAUGGCACUCAAGGUGGGGGGUCAUCAAAAGGAAAACAAGUUAAAGGUGCAAUUUUAUUCUUCUUCUUCAUGGGCUAAAAACAAGGAAGCUUGGAAAUCAUCUCUCACUUGGGACAAAUCCAAAGGUGCAAAGCAAGAAUUGAAGUCCAACUUGGACAAAGGCAAAUCAAAGGUCAACUACAAGGAUGGAGGUAACAAAGCUAAACUUGAAACUCCAUCUAAAAUAAAGUGUUUUAAAUAUCAAGAAUAUGGUCAUAAAGCAAAUGAGUGUCCUAAUAGAAGAACUAUCAUUGCAUUGAAUAAUGGUGGUUAUCAAACCGAAGAUGAAUUUAAAGAUGACCACAUGGUGGAUGAUAGUAGUGAUGAGUUUAUAGGAGAAGGGGAUGGAGAAGAAAUUAACGAUGAUGGAAAACUUGUUCUUGUUGUGAGGGAAAGUAUGAGUGCUCUAGCGAGGAAAGAUCUUAAUCAAAGAGAGAACUUGUUUAAUAAUAGGUGUAGAGUGCAAGAGCAAUUAUGUUUCUUUAUAAUUAUAGUGGAAGUUGUGCCAAUGUUGCUAUUAUAUCUAUGGUAGAACAAUUGAAACCUCCAACAAGAAGGCAUCCAAAAUCUUAUAGAUUGCAAUGUCUCAAUGAAUGUGGUGAACUCAAGGUAACCAAGAGAGUGUUGAUAAAAUUCAAGGUCGUAAGUUAUCAUGAUGAAGUGCUUUGUGAUGUUGUACCUAUUCAAGCUUGUCAUUUAUUGUUGGGAAGGCCAUGGAAAUAUGAUGUGGGGGCUAAACAUGAUGGAAGGUCAAAUAAAUAUGCAUUUUUUAAGGAUGGUAAAAAGCACAUUCUUAACCCACUUUCUCCUUUUCAGGUUGAGUAAUAAAUAUAGGAAAAUGGAAGAGUUGAAAGAAAAAAUUGAGAGAGAAAAGAAAGAGAGGAGUAAGGGAGUGAAAAAUGAUAACUCAAGAGAGGAAAAAGGAGAGUUUGAGAUCUCAAGUGAGAAUUAGUUAUCACAAAAAAAAAAGAGGUGAGCAAGAAAAAUAAAAAAAUAAAAAAAUAGAGAAAAUGUGCAUGAUUUUGCAAAAAUCAAGAGGCAAGAAAGAGCUAAACAUUGAGGAUGCUACUCAAGUCAGGUUUAUUAAACCUAAAGGUUAUUCUUUGCUUUCUAACAAUGAACUAACCUCUUUAUAUUUGCCAAGUGUUGUUUAUUCUUUGUUGCAAAAUUAUGAAGAUCUAUUUUUGGAAGAAAUACCAAGUGGGUUGCCUCCUUUGAGAGGAAUAGAGCACGAAAUUGACUUUUUCUCGGGUUCUCAAAUACCCAACAAAGCGGCUUAUAGGAGCAAUCCUCAAGAUACUAAAGAAUUGAGAAGACAAGUGGAAGAACUUGUGAAUAAAGGUUUUGGUGAGAGAAAGUUUAAGUCCAUGUGUGGUGCCCGUAAUUCUAGUACUCAAGAAAAAUAAAAUAUAGAGGAUGUGUGUAGAUUGUCGUCCCAUUAAUAAAAUUAUGAUAAAAUAUCGACAUCUCAUCCCUAGACUUGAUGAUAUUCUAGAUGAAUUAUGUGGUUCUAACUUAUUCUCUAAAAUUAAUUUAAGAAGCAGAUACCAUCAAAUCCGAAUGAAAUUCGAAAAUGAAUGGAAAACCGCUUUCAAAACUAAGUUUGGAUUACAUGAAUGGAUGGUGCUGCCUUUUGGGCUAACAAAUGUACCAAGCACUUUUAUGCGACUAAUGAACCAUGUGCUUAAGUCAUUUAUUAAUAAUUUUAUUGUGGUUUAUUUAGAUGAUAUUUUGGUUUAUAGCAAGUGUUUGGAUGAUCACGUGCAGCAUUUGAGAAUGAUAUUUGAUGUGUUGAGAAAUGAAAAGUUGUAUGUAAAUUUUAAAAAGUGUUCUUUUUAUGUGGACUGUGUUGUUUUCCUUGUCUUUGUUGUAAGUUCAAAAGGAGCUGAGGUGGAUGAUGAAUAGGUAAAAGCUAUUAGAAGUUGUCCAACUCCUACAUCCAUUAGUGAUGUUAGAAGCUUCCAUGGGUUGGCAAGUUUUUAUAGGAGAUUUGUGAAGGGUUUUAGUUCUUUAGCCGCUCCUCUAACCGAGGUCAUUAAGAAGGAUAAGCUUUUUAUUUUGGGGUAGAAAACAAGAGGAAGCCUUUAGAAUCUUGAAAGAGAAACUUAGUUCCACUCCAUUACUUCAACUUUCCAACUUUGACAAGAUGUUUGAAAUUGAGUGUGAUGUUAGUGGAGUAGGCAUUGGUAUAGUAUUGAUGCAAGAAGGGAAACACAUAGCUUACUUUAGUGAGAAAUUAAAAGGAGCUCCAUUGCAAUAUUCUACCUAUGACAAGGAACUCUAUGCCUUAGUGAGAGCUUUAGAAAAUUGGCAACAUUAUUUGUGGCAUAAGGAGUUUGUGAUUAGAAUCAAUCAUGAGGCUUUGAAGCAUAUUAGGGUCCAAAAUAAUCUUAAUAAGAGGCAUGCCAAGUGGAUAGAGUUCAUUGAGUCUUUUCAAUAUGUAAUUAAUUAUAAGCAAGGUAAAGAGAAUAUUGUGGCGGAUGUUUAUCUAGAAUAUAUGCAUUGAUGAAUACCUUGACGUCUACAUUGAUGGGUUUCGAGAGUUUGAAGGAGUUAUAUUCUAAUGAUGAUGAUUUUGGAAAAGUCUUUAGAGAGUGUCAAGUAAGCUUGAAUAGGUGUGUGCAAGUUGUUAAGGAGGGAAAUGAAGUUAGAACUCCUAGAUUUGAAUUAAAGAAGGGCCACUUGUUUAGAAAUGGAAAACUUUGUGUGCCUAUGUCUUCAUGGAGAGAGUUGUUGGUGAAAGAGGCACACAAUGAAGGUUUGAUGGGUUAUUUUGGGGUGUCAAAAACCUUAGCUAUUCUUAGUGAACAUUUCUUUUGGCCUAAAUGAUAAGAUAUGUGGAAAGAAUUUGUGCUAGGUGUUUGGAUUGUAAGCAUGCUAAAUCUUAUACCCAACCCCAUGGCUUGUACACCCCUUUGCCUAUUUCUAUUGGACCUUGUCUAGAUAUUUCCAUGAAUUUUGUUGUUGGGCUCCCUAGGACUAGGAAUGGUAAGGAUAGAAUCUUUGUUGUUGUGGAUAGAUUUUCAAAAAUGGCUCACUUUAUUGCUUGUCAUAAAAGUGAUGAUGCAUCACAUGUUGCUACUUUAUUUGUUCAUAAUAUGAUAAAAUUGCAUGGUAUUCCCCAAACAAUUGUUAGUGAUUGAGAUUCAAAAUUUCUUAUCCAUUUUUGGAGGUAUUUGUGGGGAAAUUUGGGAACCAAAUUGCUAUUUUCUACUUCUUGUUAUGCUCAAACGGAUGGUCAAACGAGGUGGUUAAUAGAACUUUAGGUAACAUGCUUAGAGCUAUGGUUAAAGGAAAGUUAACUUGUUGGGAGGAUCAAUUGCCAUUAAUUAAGUUUGCCUAUAGUAUAACUAUUCAUAGAUCUAUUUGGUAUAACCCCUUUUGAGUAUGUGUAUGACUUUAAUUCUUUGACUCCAUUAGAUUUAAAACCUUUACCCAAAGAUGUUAUUGUGAGUGUAGAUGCAAAAUCUAAGGAAAAAUCUAUGAAGAACAUCCAUGAGAAAGUAAGAUUACAAAUUGAGAAGGCUAGCAAUGAUGCAACCAAAAGAGCCAUCAAAGGACGAAAAAAAGUCACCUUUGUACCCGGUGAUUGGGUAUGGGUUCACUUUAGAAAGGAGAGAUUUUCAAGUAAAAGGAAGAACAAGCUUAUGCCAAGAGGAGAUGGAACUUUUCAAGUGAUUGAUAAGAUUGGAGAUAAUGCUUACAAAGUGGACUUACCAAGUGAGUAUUUGAUUCAUAAUGUUUUCAAUGUUAGUGAUUUAUGAUCUCUUUUUGAUGUAGGAUUGGCGAAUUCGAGGACGAAUUCUUUCGAAGAAGAGGAGAGUGAUGUACAUUAAAGUGACGCUACUUUAAGAAGGUUUUGAUACAAGAAAGACAAGGAACAUACGAAAACAUAAUCCAAAAGUAGUCCACUAGUUCAAGAGCCGAGGACCCUUUUGAAGACCACUCUCGGAUUCGACAAAUACAACAAGAAUACAAGAAACAAGGGCGUAUUUGACAACAAAUCAUCAACCACAAACUAAAAAAGAUAUUAACAAGAUAACAAUAUGAAGAACAUAAUGAGAAAUAACACAAUGGAAACAACAAACAUGUUUUUGACUAGAACAACAACAAAGAGUAUAAGAAAUGUAAAGAUAGGUUGUGAGACAUAUAUUAUUACAAGACCUAAGAACUAGGGUGUGUAUUAAACACCUAAACCCUUAGAAACAAAUAAUAAGAACACCUACACUCUUCGUGGAUACAAGAGGGACCUCAAUCCUUCAAGCACCCAAUGUUCCAAGCCAUGAAUCCAACACGAGUAAUUCUACACUCAAGUUGAAACCUAGUUUCGAUUUUGCCUCAAAGGAGAGAGGACUUGGUGUUUCAAAAGUCAUACAAUACUUACUAAUAUCAUGAAUAAUAUAAGACUAAAUGACCUAAAAUUUUCUAUUUAUAGUAGGUUACAAAAAUAGUGUGAAAUGUCCAAAAGGCCCCUUAGUUAAAUCCUUCACUUUGGGCACCCUUGGAGUGUAGUUUGUGGACUGUUUUGGAGCCUAUUUAGGCCUUCCUUUUCACUUCACUUUUACGCUCUAAGUCUCAGGUUCAAUACAUCUCACAUACGUCCAUCCUCGUGGUCGUACUUGUAUUAUUCUCCCCUUCUUGAAAAGGAUUCAACCUCGAAUUUGUACCUUGCAAAAUCAAGAGAAGACAAACUGUCAUGACCCAAACUAGGGUCUGACCGUGACAGACAUCCCAAACCAUGAAGGCCUGGGAUGCCCUUCUCUAUCUGGUAUUCAUGCACAACAUUCAUGUAAUAAAAGAAGAUGCGAAAACAUAAUCUGCUAUGGAAACAUAGUCAAUUAUAAAUUCAACAUAAGUAUGAAAGCUAUAGAUCAACUACAUCUAAAUAACAUCUGACUCAGUCUGCAAAAUCUCUACUACAUGAAAAUCUGACAACUAUUUGAAAUCUGGGACAAGGCCCCCAGUAGACCAAAACUAAAAUAAGUGACAUAAUCUGAAAAGACAGGCCUUCUCACCAAAUGAACAUUGCAACUCUGUUUGAUAAUAAUCUACUGCUUUUCUAGACCCCUAGAAGGAGCCUCGAACCUGGAGGGAGGAGGGGGGGGUUUAUACAGAUGUAAUGGUAUGCAAAGUAAUCCAAAAUAAAAUUUGUAUAUAUACAUAAAAUAGUUGGAGAGCAAUUCGUCAAAAUGUCAUACGUGAAAUAAUUCUAAAACACAUGGGCACCUUUCUGAAAAGUCAUAAAUUAUUCUUGACAAUGCAGUUUCUGAUCUUCGUGUUAAUUUUGAGUUAGGUAGCACUCCCCUACAAUUCUGAUAUUCAAUGGGCGAUAUGGAAUCCGCCAUUAACUUGGCGGGGAAGCCCCCUAUAACACCCCGUAUUUUUGGGAUAGAUUCAAGACUGUCGUCCUUAUGCGUAUAGACCCGAACUAGAUGAUUCCUUGUUAAUAUAUAUGUGGUGAUCAAUCCUAUAGUGUAAGAAUACCUUUGAAUAUGAAUUUAUUUCACAAAAAUCCCCAAACUCUAAGACAAGAUGAAAACAUUUCUACCGAAUAAGUUUUAGUGGAUGUUUAAACUUGGGUCAACUUCCAUCGACUAUAACUCCUAGUAUAUGAUGAAUUAGAGGGCUUAUUAUAUAUCAAAUGAAAGUUCUUUGAAUAAGAUUUCUAAUGAUACUAAUUUCACCUAAAUCCGAUAUUUGAGUGAAAAGUUAUGGCUAUUUUAGUGACUGAGACAGUAGCAGCAUGCAAUAAGCAUGCGACGCACGCCCUAUCGCACGCUCCAAAUUUUCAGCUACUAUUUCUGCAUUUUUAAGGGUAAAAUAGGUAUUUUCAGCCCCCUCUUCUUCAGCUUAAACAUGGGUUUUUAAUCCCAAAUGACCUCAUUAUUGAUAUUUUCAUCAAAUUACUCCAAGAACACUCUUUAGGGUUUCAAACUAAAAAUCCAAGUAGUUCAAGAUUCAACUGUGGGUUUUCAAAACAAAUUGAAGAAUUGGAAUCCCCACAACAUAGGCUUCAAGAAGCACCCAUCGCUUUCUGAAAUAGAGGUACGUGGGGUUGUCCUAAAUUUCAUGGGCCUGUUUUCAAAAAGGAAUUUACGCAAGACUUUAAAUUUAUACAAAUAUAUAUAUGUUUUACAGAUGGGGGUUUUCAAUUGAUACAAAUAGCAUGUUUUGAUAUAUGAUUUUGAAAGAAUUAUUGAGAUAUCAUGGAGUUGUUUGUUUGAAUGUAUUUUAAUGGUUAAAUUAUGAACAUGUGACCUGAAAUUUCAAAAGGAUGUGAUGUACAUGAGUUGUGAAUUUCCUAAAUUCCCCAUGAUAUUGUUUAUACCCCAUAUUAUACUUGUGUUAAACCAUUGAGAGCAUGAAUUUUGCAAUUGAUCUGACAUUACUCAUAAGUGAUUAUACUUCUUAAAUGAUUGCAUGUUGAGAACCAUGGUGUGUGUGUUUUUAAUGGUGUGAAAGUCAUACAUAUGUGCAUGUUGUAAAUGGUAUGAGAAGUUGAUGUGAUAUUGAUUACUUGCAAGUCGGGUAUGACGAUACCCUACAUAAUAUGAGAUGUGAUUGAAUUAAAAAAAGUUUGAAUGUAUUGAUUUUACAUGAGAUAGGUAGAUGUCCGAAGAAGGCAUUUGAGUGAAAGGGCUCAUCGCUGGAAACCGUGUUUGCCGACUUGGGAACAUGGUACCCUACUGUGUGAUCUUAUGUACCUGACAUUAUAUGUCAUCCCAAAGUAGGACUAUGGUUAGAAGCCCUGCUUUGUGAUCUUGUGCACUACCAUACAUGAUUGGGUCGAGACACUCUGUUGUGUGAUCUUGUGUGUCUUUCCCUCACGUAUACUUGUUUUCAGCGGUAACCGAGAUUUGACAGUUGGUGAAAAUGUGAAAUUAUAGGGUGUACCACCUAGCUCAGUAAUGUUGCAUUGUUGUUGAAAAACCAUUAUACUAUGCCCAUGUGUUUUCGAACCAUUUUUCAAAAAAGUGUUUUAUAGCAGCUCUCAUCUAUGUUACAUAAAAAUUCUAUUUUUAUUUUUGGAUUACUCUGCUACCAGUACAUAUGUAUUGACCCCCCUCCUCCCUCCAAGUUUUGACGCUCAGUCAAGGGGUUCAGAAAACCAGUAGAUUUUCAGACAGAUUUGCAGAGACAAGUGGUGAGCCUUCUAUAUUUCGGAAGGCCUGAUGUCUGGCAGUUUAUUUAUCAUUUAAUAGUUUUGGGUCUACUGGGGGACUUGUCCCAGUUUUCAGAUAGUUGUUUGUUUCAGUCAUGUAGUAGGGAUUUCGCAGACAAUUUUCAGAUGUCGAUGGAUAUUGCGGGACAUUAUUUCCCAUUAUUGAUUUCAUUAGACUCAUGACCAUGUUUCCGUAGUAUUGUUAUCUUCCGUAUUUCUUUUAUCAUAUGAAUUAGGUGCAUGAUUACCAGAUAGAUAGGGGUGUUUCAGGCCUUCAUGGUUCGGAAUGCUCGUCACGGCCAAGACCCCAGUUUGGGUCGUGACACCCCCAACCCGAGUGUGCCACAAGGGUUGGAGUUUCUGAUUCUGAUACACCACAUGACACUAGGCCAGUGUAAUAUAAUAUACCCGGAUUGGCAAAUCACAAUUUUGGGCAAUAAGUUUUCUGAACUCAUGCCUUCUUCAGGGAACCACCUAAGCUCUUUUAAUGCCCAAAUUUUAUCAUGCUCUGAAUUAUGCAUUAUUCUAGUUUUCAACAUCUGAAAAUUCUGACUUUAAAUAUGCAUUCUAUUCUGUUCUGAAUUACCAUGGCAUAAUCUGAAUUGGUGUCGUCACACCAAGACUUGCAAGUCCUAUUUCGGAGCCAUAUUUCAUCAUGCAUAAUUCUUUCAUUAAAACAUAGUUCAGACCACCCAAACAUGAAAACAGUAUAAGAGAUUUCAUGUUCCGAAAGCAUAAGUCAAAACUAUGCAAGAACUCUUCAUACAUAAAGUGGUCAUGUGCUUUUGGCAAAAUCCAUGCACUCUUUCAUUAUAUGUAUUUUCAACAUUUUUCAAUACAAACAACCCUCUCUUUGGAAUUCAAGAUUCACGACUGAAUCAUUCAUAAAUUAAGAUACUUCGUAACAUGCUUUUCAAGAUGCAUUUCAAAAACACCAUAUCAUAUGAUAAGUAAGGAAAAUCAUAACAAGAGAGGGAUUUUCACAUGAAUCAUGCUCUCAAUUCAAUCAUCAACAUUAAAACAUGUACAUAUAUACAUAUAUCAAUUCAAAUCAAUUUGGGGAAGGCCUAAAGACCAAAACAAUACCAUGAAAGCUUCUAAAACAUGAUUAUAUAUAUACAUAUAUCAAUUCAAAUCAAUUUGGGGAAGGCCUAAAGACCAAAACAAUACCAUGGAAACUUCUAAAACAUGAUUGUAUUCACAAAUCCGAAACCCUUUUCUUAAAAAUAUGAUUUCUAUGCCCAUGAGAUUUUAGGAAAACCCCGUGUACCUUAAUUUCGGAAGAUAAUAGGUAAUUUUUGAAGCUUACGGAUUGGGGAUUUCAAAUCUUCAAUCGCUGCUUUUGAAAACCCACGGUUGAAUCUUGAGUUAUUUGAGUUUCUAGUUUGAAACCCUAAUGGAGUUUCUUGAUGAAUUUUGGAGAAAGUGUAUGUAUUUAGGUGUAUUUGAGAUUAAAUCCCAUGUUUGGAUGGGUUUGGGCCCAUGGGAAAUGUCUAAUUUGACCUUGGAAUUUAAAAUUCGGGACUGGAAUGCCGUAAAAGACUUCAACGCGAUGCGCUAGAAAUCACGGUGAGCUACUGGAAUAGACAAUUGUCAAUUUAAGGCUCAUCGCGACAUGGUGGCCAGUCAAUCGGGAACGCUGACACUAAAAAUGCUCUAACUUCUUCACCGAGUGUCCAUUUUAGGCGAAUUUGGUAUCGAUGGAAAGCUAUUUUGAAGAUAUUUCAUUUGUUAUAUAGUAGGACACCUAGUUCUUUAUAUACAAGGAGAUAUGGUUGAUUGAAGUUGACUCAAGUUUCGACGCUCACUAAAACUCGAACGAUAGGGAAGCUUUCAACUUGUCCUUGAGUUAGGGGACCUUUAUGAUCUCAAUUCAUGCUCAAAUAGGUUGCUACACUACAUACUUGAUUAACAUGGAAAAUUUACAUAGGAUUUAUGGUUUUUGGAUUAUCUACGCAUAGAAAUGAUGAUUUUCAUUCUAGCCCGAAACAUGGGGCAUUACAAUAUCUCCUCCUUAGGAUCAUUCGUCCCUGAAUGAUGGGUAGGAACGUUGAAGCUUAAAGGUAUGGAAUAACAUGGACCUGAUGUGUCUUCUAAUAAAGGAUAUAACUGAUUUGAAACAUUUAAACUUCUAUCAUGAAACUGAAUUCUGAGCUGACUUGACUUCACUUACUUCAAGGGGCUGAUUCAUGCUGAGAGUUUAAGAUUCCCUUAAAAUGUUCAUGAUCAAAUCAUACAUACUGAAUUGAGAAUUGAUAACUUAUGCAAGUACAAAUCAUGAGGAAGCAUGUCUAAGAUCGCACCACGUUACUAAACUAUCUGAGCUAAAAUACUUGGAAACAUUUGAAAUUAUGCUCUGCAUUCUUAUGAACCGAGUCAUGACUAAGUAGCUUAAUCUGAAACAUGAUGCUUUGACUAAUCUGAAUUCACAACUUAAAUGGAUGAAAUAGAUUAUCUCUUGGGAUGGUCAUACGCUUGAGACUUCGGAUAGUAGGACUGGGUGAAAAGGUGGAAAACCACAGUAACUUGUCUAUCUGACUGUUAAAAUGAAUUACUGGCUAUACAGACUGAAUUAUGCUGGACCCUUAUACUUAACUGGAGUAUCUCAUUCAACAAUCUUUCUAAAGAAGUCAUAGUAGCGUUAGGGAGCAAAGAAUCUUGGGCACUGGUUACACAAGACAUCCAACUAAGGAAUCACAAUAAUGACACUACCCUAUAGCAUGGAAUAUAGAUAUAUAACUUAUAAACUAGGAUAAAACUACUAGGCCUUAGGCAAUGCAACUUCUUAUUUUCAAGCUGAGCGCACUUCUCGAAUACUCCCUUAACUAUAUUAUUCCCUUUAAAUACCAUACUCAUUGAUUUAAAUUGUAAUCCUCAUAUGGGCAUUGAUAAAUCUUUCUACUAAUGCCUAAAGUAACAUAAGUCCUCUCACCAUGAUCAAGCCUAACUUCAAAUCACAAAAUACAACAUGCACCAUGAUACUAGUCUAAACCAUAUGAUUCAAUCUUCUAUAUCCUCUUUAGAGAUCACACCCUAAGCAUAACGUGCCUUACUACUUCAAUGACUAACUCUGAUCUCUUACUAUGGAUUCACUAGCACAUAUUACGUUCCUCCACUUAAAUCUCAACACGUCAUUCCAUCCUAUCUUUAUAACCACAUAUAAACUUCAAGGAAAACACCCAUAAGGACAUACUUCACAUAUUCUCUAAUCCACCAUCAACAUAACUCCCACGCGCUACCCCAAGAACAUACACACACAAAUUUCCACUAACCAUCACAUAUAUCAAAGACUUGGCCCCAGAUCUUACUUCACACUUAUGGCCUUAUCUAAAACAAGCAUACUAUGAUCUUUCAUUAACAAGAAAUAUUUACUCAUCACCACUAUCAUCACAUAAGGAGGAGUCACUAAAAGGUUAGAACAUAAGACCUUGAAACAUGGGAGGAUAUUAUAUGAGACUUGAUACUUAACCGAGGCUAAAGGAAUAGCAAAUCAACAUCAGGGAUUCAACAAAGUGAUCUGAAUUGGGGCAUACAUGACUAUACAUGACUAUAAGCUAAAUCUCAUCUAUCAUAAAGAGUAUAGAAUGAAUUAUGAGAACUGAGCACACUAUAAAGCGUGAGUACAUGAGUCAUGAGCUGCAUGACCUAAAUUUGAAGUUCAUAACAUAUGAAAUGUGAUUCUGACUACUGAAUGAAUUGGAACUCCUCAUUUUAGAACUAGAAGAGAACGUGAUUCUCUCUCAUAUACCUGAACAUAAACUAUGAUCAUGGAACUAAAACGUAAAGCAUGAGUAGGUAUUGGGAUAAAUGAAAAAUACUGAGAUAAGAAUGGGUUGAGCCUUACCCUCACUUCCUAUUAACAUCACUACUAGAAUCUAAAAGCCUGUCUUGGUCACUUGUUUUAUCAUCUCCCCCUUAGCUUUAAGCUAUCAUCUUAAGUUUGAGAGAUCCCUUAGUAGACUCUAAACUGAACUACACUCACUACACUCUGGGGCCUGGAAUACGAUGAUGCACGUAAUUAAUAGAACGUAACCCAAAUAACUACACCUGGAAGUGGAAAACCCACUGCUAAUACCACCUUCUGAGACACACUUUAUCAUUCUAUAGACCUAAUAUUCAUCAUAUAAUACUUGAACACUUACUAACUUCGAAUCUUCAUGAGUAUUCCCAUAGUUGGAGUACACACCCUAUAGCGCGUUAACUCUUAUUUCUAUCAGUUCAACCUUCAAAAAAUAUUCAAACUUAGAUUAUAACCCUUAACAUGGAUAUCACCAAGCCUUUGAUGAACCAUACUACUUCCGUCAUAGCAUAUCAAUAUCGCGACUCCAACUUAUAUCUCUCUACCAUGAAAAUUCAAGAUCAUAUCAAAAGGCUCAAUACUAUCAAUUAGAACUCCUUAACUUGGCUAUUUAGAACACCAAAUACCAUCUAGCAACUCAAAGAUACUACUAGCCACACACAAUAUGUAAUAGCCUUAGAAAAAUCAUCGCAACCUCAUAUCACCUUGGGCAUACUUCUACAUCAUACAUACAACAUCAUAUUUCAUUACGAAUCAAACAAACUUAAGUUGUGGCAUACACUGUUCAAGCCUAUUAGAUCACUUCCAUAAGACUAAUAUCAUUAACCAAGAAAUCAUCACAUCCACCUUCAUGGACAUCAACUGUUCAAACAUAAUAUCUAGUGCUAAAUAUGAUUUACAACCCAACCUUACACACAAUUCUCAAAAACAUUCAUCAUUAAUCUUAAGCCACUAUUCUUACAUCCACAUUCUAUAUUAAAUUCAAGCCUAUAGUCUAACAUCAAUCGUUUACCACCAAUGAAGAAUGCAACAUAAUAUACUAGUUCAUCAAAUUGGGACAUUCUAUCCAAAUACCUCAAAAAUCUACUACAUACCUUCUCACAAGUAGUACUAAUUUACAACUACCAACAAAAAGAAGGUCAAGGGGGGUAAAUUCACAUAAUAGAUAUGGUCAACCUUAAUCAUAUAUCAUAACCCCAUACAAUCUUAUCUACUUAUACGGUUUUCUCAUAUCACACCUACUUACCCAAGCGUACAUUUAGACUGCUUUCAAAUUCUACAAACAACCAUGAGUCUAUAAUUCUAACUUACUGGCUAAUCUAGCUAUUUUCAUACUUCAAGCAAAGAAUAAUUCACCUUGACUAAUAACUCCUUCUUUACCUUCUACUAAACUAACACACAAGGACGUAUCACUUCAUUACCAACUCAAUCUCAUGCAAAAAGAUUCGGCUAUAUAUAUAUUCAAUAAAAUGCCCUUACCACCUUUCUUCCCAUUUUGCCUCUAAACCCCGAGUUCCAAACAACACGAGAACAACAAGAUGAACAACAAGUUUCUAGUGAAUCGAAAUAGGUCUCCCACGGCUUCACUAGACUUUGAUUUUUGUGUUUUGAACAAGAAAAUGAAAUGAAUAACAAAGCAACUCUGCUAGUGAAUCGAAAGAGCCCCACACGGCUUCACUAGACUUUGAUUUUUCAAAAACACCAUGAUAACAAGAUUACAUAUUAAAAGAGAUAGAAAAUUGAAACACAAUAUUCAAUGAUCUAAGAAUACACAUCUUACUCUGUAUAAAUAAAAAUCUGAGAUGAUCUAAGAAUACACAUCUUACUCUACAUAAAUAAAAAUCUGAGUCAAACACUUCUCCCACAGACUACCAUACAAUCAACACAUGGUACUAGCUACCACAUUAGUCUAUCACUAUAAAGUAGUAAAUCAUCCUUAAAUAUCAGUUAUUCAACUAAAAUAUUUAUUUACGCACGUCACCCCCACUCUAACUUCUAACUCUGUGACUUCACAUCACCAACUUCGUGGUCCAACAUCACUACCAAUAAGUCAUGACACCAACACUUAACUUAUACUACUACUUAGGUGGAAAUACUGUUCCAACAUUCUGCUACACAUCGUUCCCACUUAAGCAUGACAUUUGCAAUACUAAUUCUGAAAAAAAAAAUAGAAUACUCUUAAUACAGUAGGACAAAAAGCAUGAUUUCAUCGGAAUCAAAGUUCACACUAAAAUCAAUACACUCUGAGGCACUAACGGACUCUUCUCAAGUCCUUGCACAAAUUUUAAAGUCUUAUGUAGCUCAACCAGAAAGGACCAUGUCAUUUAGACUGUAAACUUCUGCACUUGAAUCACCCCAAUAAUGAGACAUAUCUAAGCACAUCAGAGUAAGUAAAUAAUUGGGAUAGCUUUACUUUCAUAUGGGCGACACCAUAGCACGAAUUAGAGUACGGAAGAGGAACAUUCUGGAUCAAUAGCACAAACUAGAACAUGAAGAUAGGGAAAUAUUCCUAAACGCCUAGUAGCCUCCUGCUUAUAAGUGUGGCACGCUACACACCCAUAAAUAAGACUCUACUCGAUGCAAUUUCGCAGACACCCUGGGACCAUGAACCGUGCUCUGAUACCAAGUUUGUCAUGACCUGAAUUAGGGCCUGACCGUGACGGACAUCCCGAACCAUGAAGGCCCUUGACUCCCUUCUCUAUCUGGUAAUCAUGCACAACAUUAAUAUAAUAAAAGAAGAUGCGGAAACAUAAUCUGCUACGGAAACAUGGUCAAUUCUGAAUUCAACAUAAGUAUGGAAGCUGUAGAUCAACUAAAUCUAAAUAACAUCUGACUCAAUCUGCAAAAUCUCUACUACAUGAAAAUCUGACAACUGUCUGAAAUCAGGGACAAGGCCCCCAGUAGACAAAACUAAAAUAAGUGACAUAAUCUGAAAAGACAAGCCUUAUGGAAUAAAGAAGGCUCACCAACUGAACACUGUAACUCUGUCUGAUAACAAUCUACUGCUUUUCUGAACCCCUAGACUAAGCCUCAAAACCUGGAGGGAGGAGGGGGGGUCAAUACAGAUGUACUGGUACGUAAAGUAAUUCAAAAUAAAAUGUGUAUAUAUACAUAAAAUAGUUGGAGAAUAAUUUGUCAAAAUGUCAUACAUGAAAUAGUUCUAAAAUGCAUAGGCACCUUUCUGAAAAGUCAUAAAUCAUUCUUGACAAUGCAGUUUUUGAUCUUUAUAUUAAUUCUGAGUUAGGUGGCACACCCCUAUAAUUCUGAUAUUCCACGGGCGAUAUGGAAUCCGUCAUUAACUUGGCGGGGAAGCCCCCAACCCGAGUGUGCCGCAAGGGUUGGAGUUUUUGAUUCUGAUACGCCACACGACACUAGGCCAGAGUAAUAUAAUAUACCCGAAUCGACAAAUCACGGUUUUGGGCAAUGAGUUGUCUAAACUCAUGCCUUCUUUGGGGAACCACCUAAUCUCUCUUUGUGCCCAAAUUUUAUCCUGUUCUGAAUCAUGCAUUAUUCUAGUUUUCAACUUCUGAAAAUUCUGACUUUAAACAUGCAUUCUAUUCUGUUCUUAAUUACCAUGGCAUAAUCUGAAUUGUCGUCACACCAGGACUUGCAAGUCCUAUUUCAAAUCCAUAUUUCAUCAUGCAUAAUUCUUUCAUUAAAACAUAGUUCAGACCACCCAAAUAUGCAAACAGUAGAAGAGAUUUCAUGUUCUGAAAGCAUAAGUCAAAACUAUGCAAGAACUCUUCAAACAUAAGGUGGUCAUGUGUUUUUGGCAAAAUCCAUGCACUCUUUCAUUAUAUGUAUUUUCAACAUUUUUCAAUACAAACAACCCUCUCUUUGGAAUUCAAGAUUCAUAACUGAAUCAUUCAUAAAUUAAGAUACUUCGUAACAUGCUUUUCAAGAUGCAUUUCAAAAUCAAUCCAUAUCAUAUGAUAAGUAAGGAAAAUCAUAACAAGAGAGGGAUAUUCACAUGAAUCAUGCUCUCAAUUCAAUCAUCAACAUUAAAACAUGUACAUAUAUACAUAUAUCAAUUCAAAUCAAUUUGGGGAAGGCCUAAAGACCAAAACAAUACCAUGGAAACUUCUAAAACAUAUUGUAUUCACAAAUCCAAAACCCUUUUCUUAAAAAUAUGAUUUCUAUACCCAUGAGAUUUUAGGAAAACCCCACGUACCUUAAUUUCGGAAGAUAAUAGGUAAUUCUUGAAGCUUACGGAUUGGGGAUUCCAACUCUUCAAUCGAUUUUGAAAACCCACAGUUGAAUCUUGAGUUAUUUGGGUUUCUAGUUUGAAACCCUAAUGGAGUUUCUUGAUAAAUUUUGGUGAAAGUGUAUGUAUUUAGGUGUAUUUGGGAUUAAAUCCCGUGUUUGGAUGGGUUUGAGGCCAUGGGAAAUGUCUAAUUUGAUCUUGGAAUUUAAAAUCCGGGACUGAAACGCCGUAAAAGACUUCAACGUGAUGCGCUGGAAAUUAAGGUGAGCUACUGGAAUAGACAAUUGUCAAUUUAAGGCUCAUCGCGAUGCGGUGGCCAGUCAAUCGGGAACGCUGACACUAAAAAUGCUCUAACUUCUUCAUCGAGUGUCCGUUUUAGGCGAAUUUGGUAUCGAUGGAAAGAUAUUUCGAAGAUAUUUUAAUUGAUAUAUAGUAGAACACCUAGUUAGUUAUAUCCAAGGAGAUAUGGUCGAUUGAAGUUGACUCAAGUUUUGACGCUCACUAAAACUCGAACGAUAGGAAAGCUUUCAACUUGUCCUUGUGUUAGGGGACCUUUAUGAUCUCAAUUAAUGCUCAAAUAGGUUACCACACUACAUACUUGAUUAACAUGGAAAAUUUGCAUAGGAUUUAUGGCUUUUGGAUCAUCUACGCAUAGAAAUGAUGGUUUUUAUUCUAGUGCGAAACACGGGGCAUUACACAAACAAGCACACAUCCUCAUGACAAGAGGUGUUAGGGUUAGAAAAAAUAACAUAUCAACAUGUCAUGCCGAGGUGGAAUAAACUUAAAGUACAUCCGCGGGUCCUUGGUUUUAAGCAUGAAAAGAUUAAUACAAAUGUGACAAAGGAAGUGGAUCAAAUAAUGUCACACCCCUUUUUCUCUCAAGGGAAUCGAGGUCGAAGGGUUUUUCCAAUUAAAGUGACGGUAUUGAAUAGGGAUUAAUUUUUAUUAUUUUUAGAGUCGACACUUGGAAUUGAGUUAUGGUAUUACAAGUCACCUUAUUGAAUCCCUAAUCAAAAGGAAAUGACUCUUUAUUAUGGUCUGCAAAAACAGAAGACUGUGUAAGGAAUUCUGUUGAUCGAGGGGAAGGUGUAAGGCACCCCUCGAAUCCCAUGGUUCUAGCAUGGUCGCUUUAAUUGACUUACCUUGAUUUAAUCUACUUUGAUAAAUUAUGUUAAAGCCUAAAAUCGCUCAUUUUAUUAUUUAAAACUUGUCUAUUAUUUCAUAUUAAAUAAAUCAGUGAAAGUUUAAAAAUAUUUGUCAAGUUACUUUUAGAAAAAUAUUUGUCAAUGUGCAUUAUUGCAUCCUUGAAUUUUAAAUAUCUCAGAAAGAUGCGUACGCUGCAUUCUUAAAUGAGACAAACAUUUUAAGUGCGACUAAAUUUCCCUAGCGUUAAAACAUUGAUUUAUCUUUUGUAAAAUUGUAACAAUUUUAUUUGUUUGAAAUACUACUUAAUCUAAUAACAUUCAAAAAUAAUAUUCAAUUAAAACUAUUAAUUAAUUUAAUAAAUAAUUAUUAAGCUUCAUGAAAGAAUAAAAAUAAUAAACUUCUAAAGUCAAAAACACACUUUAUAACUUCAAAAAUCAAAAUAAUGAAGAUUUUUCUCUUUUUAUUUUUAUUUCAUUCUUUGUUAUUUUCUAUCUACUACUUUUACUAUCUUAACUAGUAAGGGAUAUGAUAUUUAACAAAUUCAUUUUUUCUUUUCCAUAUUAAAGUUACACAUGAGACAAAUAUAAUAAAAAUAAUCAACAACACAAAUAAAACUAGUGUUUUCAAAGAGCUUUGCCGGAGAAUGGAGAAACUCCGGCCAGAUCUGGCGCUGGAGAGGGAGGAAGGGAGGCGGCAGCGAGGUUGAUUUAUAGGAGCAGCGCGCGUGGUGGCCAACGUUGGUUGGGCUUCACCGGUGAUGGUAGUUCCGGCCAGAUCCGGGAACGGGAAAUGGAGGGAUGGCGGAGAGACGCUGGAAAAAAGGGUGAUUUUCGACGAGAUUUGCGAUGGGAAGGGAGAAAAAGGGAACAGCGGUGCGGGGGAAGGGGAAGAAAAGGGAUGGUCGGCGCCUAGAUUCACCGGAGAAAUCAAAGCAACAACAGUGGCUGGUUACCGACGAUAAAUCGCCAAAAAAAAAGUUUUUAAUCUCCUUGUUUUUAUUAUUGGCUUUCUCAUUUUUUAUUUUUUCGUCUGUCUCGAUCUUGGUCUCACUUCCCUUUUGAUUUUUUUUUACUCUUUUUGGUAUGUACUGGUAUGCGUGUGGCACUGUGUAUAUGUGAAAAUCUAUGAAUAUGUGUGUAUACUGGUUUAAACAAACUAUUUAAACUAUUUAAACAAACUUCAUUCAUAUUUUGGUUUCUAAUUGAAUUUUAUACAACAAAUAAUGUAAGAUUAAAGAGGAACCUGUAAGGAAUAUAAUUGAAUAAUACAACAAGAAAUUUUCUCCAGAAACUUCGAACGGAAUCCUAAUUCACUGAUACUCUUUUCUCUCUUUGGAUUGAUGAUUUUCUCUCUAUUUUUUUAUCUGGUUUUUUAAUGAUGUAGAUGUAGUAGAAUCUCUCCAAAAAAAAAGGGGUUUAAAUUUUAAAUUUAUAUAUUAUUAUUAUAUAUAUUUUUAUUUAUUUUUAUGUAGAAACUAAUAAUAAUAAUAAUAAAUAUAAUAAUAAUAAUAAGUAAAUAAAAUAAAAUAAAUUAAAUAAUAACAAUAAUAGAAAAAUAAAUAUAAUAAUAAUAAAUCAAUUAAUUUUAUAUUUAAAAAAUAUAAUAAUAAUAAUAAUUUAUAAAUAUACAAAUAUAAAUAUAAUAAAAUAGUAUUAAAACUACUAAUUUAUUUAUUAAAAAUUUACAAAAGAAAAAUAUUUUUUAAUUUUUGUUUAAUUAAUUUUUAUUUAAAUUAGAAUAAAAAUAAAAAUAAAAUAUCUUAAAGUUAACUUUAUUUAAUUAUUUAUUUUUUAACUAAAAAUUAUUAAAAAUAAAAUAAUAAUCAAAAUAAAUUUUAUUAAAUAUAAAUGUUUAAUAUCGAUAAACAAGUUAAAAAUUUAGGGAGGAUAAAAAAUCACGUGUCUACAUUUUUGCCCCUCUUUGUGUGGAAUCUCGAAGAGUUUUCAUACAAAGAAGUAGACAAAAUAUGAUUUUUGAUCCUCCAAUUAUUUGAAAAGUAAAAAUAAGAAUAAAAAUAAAAGGAGAAAUGUGACCGAGUCCUGGUUUUUGGACAUCCUACCUAUCCCAGGUUAUAAGGGAAUCAGGUCACGAGUAGUUCAAAGGUGAUAUGGAGAGAAAAGGAUUUAAAAGUCGAAUGAGAUUCCAUUGAGUUUUCAGUUAACGACUUCCACCUUUUACAUUCAAAUGACUAACAAAAAUAAAAAAUGAAAUGAAAAUUGCAAUCUCAUGACUUAAACUUGAAAAUUCACCCUAUUCUUCAGGCGGGCUCCUGACUUUCAAUUUCUUCACCCUAUUCUUCAGGCAGGCUCCUGAACUUCCUUUUUCUUCACCCUGUUCUUCAGGCAGGCUCUUGGAGUUAUAAUUUCUUCACCAUGUUCUUCAUGCGGGCUCCUGGAGUUACUUUUUCUUCACCCUGUUCUUCAGGAGGGCUCAUGGACUUACAAUUUCUUCACUCUGUUCUUCAGGCGAGCUCUUGGAGUUACUUUUUCUUCACCCUGUUCUUCAGGCGGGCUCCUGGAGUUACUUUUUCUUCACCCUAUUCUUCAGGCGGGCUCCUGGAUUUAUAAUUUCUUCACCUUGUUCUUCAGGUGGGCUCCUGGAGUUACUUUUUAUCACCCUGUUCUUCAGGCGGGCUCCUGGACUUACAAUUUCUUCACCUUGUUCUUUAGGCGGACUCCUGGAGUUACUUUUUCUUCACCCUGUUCUUCAAGCGGGCUCCUGGACUUACAAUUUCUUCCCCCUGCUCUUCAGGCGGGCUCCUGGACUUACAAUUUCUUCACCCUGUUCUUUAGGCGGGCUCCUAGACUUCAAUUUCUUUAUCCUGUUCUUUAGGCGGGCUCCUGGAGUUACAAUGUCUUCACUCUAUUCUUCAGGCGGGCUCCUGAACUCAAAGUAAAUAGUGAAAUAGAAAAUAACAUCCCAUUUUUCAGGAGGGCCCUGAGCAUUAAAAUAAAUUCUCAUUCUUCAGGAGGGUCCUGAGCAAAAAAGUAAAUUCCCAUUCUUCAGGAGGGUCCUGAGCAAAAGUAAAUUUUUAUUCUUUAGGAGGGUCCUAUGCAUAAAAAUAAAUUCCCAUUAUAUAAAUCUUCAUUCUUCAGGAGGGUCCUGAGCAUAAAAAUAAAUUCCCAUACAACACACACAUAAAAAUUUGCCCCAGUUUGUACUGGGAAAAUUUAUGUGUCGUCAAAUUUUAAUGUUUUGAAAAAUAUAGUGACAGAAUAAAUCAAAGCAUGGAAUAGCUUUGAUAAAUUAAUCUCCCAAAGAAUAAAAUUUACCAUAACCGAGAUCCACUAUCGUAUGUUGUAAUCUUGAUUCUUGCAUUGACAGAAGUGUGAAAUUGCAUCCUUUAUUUGAACACAUUCUAUCUCUGUUUCAAACAAAACAAAGAAAAAUUGUGAGUUUUAAACACAUGUGGUGAUUGGUUUGUGGUUUUCGGCUCUUGAAGUGACCAUUCUUGCACUUUUCAUGUUCAACUCGUUUUCAUUCCUUGAUUGAUUCUCAUUGACUUGUCAUAUCUCUGACCCAAAAUUCUGACUACUGGCAGUCUCAACUCAAAACAUAUUUCUCUUGUAUAAUAUCUCAGGAUUUAACUUUCCAUACACCUUUUAUCCUUCCAUGAGUCAAAAAUUAUCAAAUCACAAUCAUUCUGAAUACUUUAUUAUACUUCAAAAUGUUGUUUUUGUGUGUUGACCCUUUGUCUUUCUUUGUACCUUUGAAGAAGUUGGUAGCAAGUUUGGAGUUCUUUCUCACUUGACCUGACGUGAGUUUGACUCAAAAACACAUAAAAGACAAUAAAAAUUUUUGUUUGAUGACAAGGACACAAAAAUAAAAAAUCAAAAAUCAAAAUAAAACAAAAAGAAAAAAAAAAUAGGUAUCUCUUUUUCCAAAUUAACAAUAAAAACUUAUCUGAAUGUGAAAACCAAUUCUGGUGAUUAUGACAUGCAUUUCGAAUUACACAACCAGAUCUAAUCACCAAUCAUUAUUAACUUUCGUCCACUCAUUGAGAUUGAAAUUUAGCCAAUCUUGAACUUGUUCCUUCUGGAUAACAACCCUUCUUCAUCUAGUGACACCUCAAAGCCAACGAGCCAAUCUCAUUUUCACUUCUUUCUUGGCUUACAGUCUCCUUAUGGUGCCCAACAGGGUUUUCACCAAUAAGACUUUUUUUCUUCAUAGAAAGUAUCACCUAACAUAUGAAAUAUCAUGCACCCAUAACAUGUUUAGCCUUGACAUUCUCAAAGAUUAAUCUGAAGGUCUUUCUUUGGUUGUAACUUAGCUUUUCGAAUUGGGUUAGAAAGAAAGGUCAGCAUGAGGCUCAAAAUUUACACAAAAUUGGGUAAAGCAUAAAAUUUUUGGAAUCGACUCUUUUUAGGAAAUAAAUUUUUGCCCAGUUUUAUUUCAUCCUAAGAAUUUUGAAUUUUCUUUUGGUUGGACCGAACCCCGGAGUAGGGCUGCCUACAUAUCUUGUCAUAGCAAGAAUCAGGUCACACGUAGCUCAUGACAAUCAUUCUUUGCUUGAUUUUGGACUUUUGAUUGAUUUUUCCUUAUUUAUUUAUUUUUCGACUUUUUUUUUCAACUUUUUUUUUAACUCUUUUUUUUUUAAUUUUCCAACUUUCAUUUGAUUCCAAAAGAGGGGUACGAAAAAAUAUAAAAGCUCAAAGGGGGUAAGCAAAGGUUGAUAUAUUAUUCGGAUAGUAGACAAAAUUCCUUCAUCAUUUCAAUCUUUUAAAAUAUAAGUACAAAACAUACAUGAUGUAAUUGUACAUGAAUAUCAUACAUAAUAUCUUUUAACUGCAUCAGCAUUAACCGACAUUCCUUCCAUUUUCCCCUCUGCAUCAGUCAGGUAUAACGCGCCAUUAGGUAACACUUUCUUCACCAUGAAUGGUCCAUGCCAAUUAGGAGAAAAUUUGCCUUUGGCUUCAAUCUGAUGGGGUAGGAUGCAUCUAAGUACUAACUGACCAACUUUAAAAUGUCUUUGACACACUUUUUUGUUAUAUGCCCAUGUCAUUCUCUUCUGGUACAGUUGUCCAUGACAUACUGGUGUUAAUAUUUUUUCAUCAAUCAAGCUUAAUUGCUCCAAAUGAGUCUUGACCCAUUGGUCAUCAUCAAUUUCAACUUCUACAACUAUUCGGAGAGAUGGAAUUUCAAUCUCUACAGGUAUAACUGCUUCAAUUCCGUACACUAACAAGUAAGGAGUUUCACCAAUUAAAGUCCGAACUGUAGUACGAUAACCCAACAAAGCAAAAGGUAACUUUUCAUACCACUAUCGGGAACCCUGCACCAUUUUACGGAGUAUUUUCUUUAAGUUCUUGUUGGCAGAUUCUCAGCUCCAUUUGCCUUUGGAUGAUAAGGAGUUGAAUUUCGAUGCAUAAUCUUAAAUUGCUGGCACACUUCUUGCAUCAAAUGGCUAUUGAGAUUCGCAGCAUUAUCCAUGACAAUUAUCUUUGGAAUGUCGAACCAACAAAUGAUGUUGGAGUGAGUAAAAUCAACCAUCACUUUCUUGGUCACUGACUUAAAAGUCGCUGCUUCCGCCCACUUUAUAAAAUAAUCAAUGGCUACUAAGAUGAACCUAUGUCCAUUCGAAGCCUUUGGUUCAAUUGGUCCAAUUACGUCCAUCCCCCAAGCCACAAAAGGCCAUGGAGAAGUCAUUGUAUGCAACUCAGAUGGAGGGGAAUGCAUCAAGUCCCCGUGUACUUGACAUUCAUAACAUUUACAAACGAAGCUGAUGGAAUCUCGCUCCAUGGUGAGCCAAUAAUAACCUGCUCAGAGUAUUUUCUUUGCCAAAACAUACCCACUCAUGUGUGGUCCACAAAUCCCAAAAAUAUACUUCAGUCAUGAUUUUUGAAGCUUCUUUAGCAUCUACACACCUCAAAAGUCCCAAAUCAGGAGUCCUCUUAUACAAGAUUCCUCCACUUAGGAAAAAUCCACUAGAUAAAUGUCGAAUGGUUCUCUUUUGAUUACCAUUGGCAUGUACAAGAUAUUUCCCAGUCUGAAUAUAUUCUUUGAUAUCAUGGAACCACGGCUCCCCAUCAAGUUCUUGCUCAACCAUAUUACAAUAUGCAUGUUAAUCAUGAAUCUGUAUAUGCAAAGGAUCAAUAUAAGUUUUGUCGGGAUAUUGAAGCAUCGAAGAUAAGGUCGCCAAAGCAUCAACAAUCUUAUUAUAAGCUCUGGGUAUGUGUUUGAAUUUUAUUGAUACAAAUCGUUGACAAAGAUCUUGCAAACAACCUCUAUAUGGUAGGAGUUUCGAAUCACGAGUCUCCCAAUCUCCUUGGAUUUGGUGGACUAAUAAAUCUGAAUCUCCUAAUAUCAACAAUUCUUAGACCUCCAUGUCAAUGGCUAAUCUUAAUCCCAGAAUGCAAGCUUCGUAUUCUACCAUAUUAUUGGUAUAGUAGAAUCGAAGUUGGGUUGUUAUAGGAUAAUAUUGUCCUGAUUCAGAAAUAAGAACUUCUCCUAUCCCCACUCCUUUUACAUUAGUAGCUUCAUCAAAGAACAAUUUCCAGCCUGAAUGGCUAUCGUCAGAAACAAACUCAUCAACAUACAAUACCUCUACAUCUGGAAAAUAAGUCUUCAAUGGUUUAUACUCCUCAUCAAUAGGAUUUUUAGUCAAAUGAUCCUCUAAAGCUUGAGCUUUCAUUACAGUUCAUGUCGCAUAGACAAUAUCAAACACUGUGACCAACAUCUGUCACUUCGCGAGUCUGCCUGUUGGCAUAGGCUUCUGAAAAAUGUACUUUAAAGGAUCCAUAUGAGAUAUAAGGUAAGUAGUAUAAGAUGAUAAGUAAUGUUUCAGCUGUUGGGCUACCCAAGUUAAGGUGCAACACGUCUUCUCAAGAAGAGUGUACUUAGCCUCGUAAGUGGUAAACUUUUUGCUAAGGUAGUAUAUGGCCUAUUAUUUUCUGCCUGUAACAUCAUGUUGACCCAAUACACAACCAAAAGAAUUUUCUAACACAGGCAUGUACAAUAUCAAGGGUCUUCCUGGCUCUGGAGGAACCAAAAUAGGCGAAUUCGACAAGUAUCUCUUAAUUCUGUCAAAUGUCUCUUGACAUUCUUUAGUCCAUUCAACUUUAGCAUUCUUUUUCAACAACUUGAAUAUUGGCUCGCAGGUUGUCGUAAGCUGAGCAAUGAAUCUACUAAUAUAAUUCAACCUUCCAAUUAAGCUCAUCAUCUCCGUUUUAUUUUUUGGUGGAGGCAAAUCUUGAAUAGCUUUUAUUUUUGAAGAAUCUAACUCAAUGGCACGUCGACUGACUAUGAAGCCCAAGAGUUUUCCUGACGGAACUCCAAAUACACAUUUCACUAGGUUAAGUUUGAGAUCAUAUCUUCGAAGCCUUUCAAAGAAUUUUCUGAGAUCUUUGACAUGGUCAGACUGCUCUCUUGACUUAAUGAUCACGUCAUCCAUAUAAACUUCAAUCUCUUUGUUCAUCAUAUCAUGAAACAUUGUGGUCAUUGUCCUCAUGUAAGUUGCCCCAGCAUUCUUUAGUCCGAAAGGUAUAACUCAAUAAUAAUAUGUCCUCCAUGGCGUAAUAAAUGAUGUAUUUUCUGCAUCUUCUAAAUCCAUAAUGAUCUAAUGAUACCCCGCAUAACAAUCCACAAAAGAAGCAAGCUCAUGUUUGGCACAAUUGUCCAAAAAAAUAUGAAUAUUUGGAAGUGGAAAAUUAUCUUUUGGACUCACUUUAUUUAGAUCACAAUAAUCAACACACAUCCGAACUUUGUCGUCCUUCUUUGGAACUGGGACAAUAUUUGCUAACCAAGUAGGAUAUUGGGCCACUCAAAUGACUUUAGCCUCAAGUUUCUUCGUGAUUUCCCCUUUGAUUUUUACACUCAUGUCGUUUUUAAGCUUCCUUAAUUUUUGCUUGACAGGAGGGAAAGCAGAAUCAAUUGGCAACUUGUGAACUACCAAAUCAGUGCUCAAACCGCGCAUAUCAUCGUAAGACCAUGCAAAGAUAUCUUUAUACCCAAGAAAAGCUUCAAUUAUAACUUUGUUAUGGUUGAGCACGUAUACUUAUCUUAGUCUCCCUAAUAUUUUUGAGAUCUCCUAAAUUGAUCGCUUCAGUUUCCUCCAAAUUGGGGGUUGACUUGUUCUCAAACUGUUUGAAAUCUUUGCUUAUAUCCUCAAAUGCUUCUUCUUCAUCAUAUUCAACUUCUUUAUUUAUUAUUUCAUAAUUAUAUUGGGUUUUUAAAUCUGGUUGAUAAUUUUUCAUGCAUGUCAUAUCAUUAGAAUCAACAUAAAAAGAACAAUAUGAUAGAAAAUAAAUAAAUAAAUAUCAGACUCAAAAUAAAAUAAAGGGAGACUUCACUUUAUUAAAAAAAUAAAAAUAGAAAGAGUUUUAACCUAUAAUACCAGGUUAAAGAUCUGAAUUACAAUCCUAAAAUUAUUCAAAUUAUAGAAAGAAAAACAAGCUACCAAGACUGAAAGAAAAAACAAACUACCAAGACUCCUUCAUAGUAGGGAGAAGAGUGGUCUCCCAAUUGUUAAGCUGGACAUCAGGGCCGAUAAACUGCACAUCUGUAUUACUGGUACCUUCCCCAAUUUCAACCAUAUCAGCUUCAAUGAACAUAUUCUGGAAAAGGCCAAUCAACUCUGUAUUAUCAUUAUUCACUGACUCUACAGCAGGUAACAUAGAAGACCCAGCAACGUUGACUUUGAUGAAGGAUUCAUGAAGUGGCGGUAUCGGCUUGGUAAGUGUCCAUGACUCUUUCUUAUGCUUUUUAGCCUUCUUUAUAUCUUCAGCAGUGGGCACGUAUCCCAAACCAAAAGUACCAAGGUUCUCAUGGAGGUUUACUGGAUGACCCUACUUUGUAAAAACAUCCCUAAACCUUUUCCUGGUUCGAAACAAUACUUCAACAUUUCAUUCACUACCAUAAUAGAUGCAGAGGACAAUUAUGGUCUUAUGAUGAGAUUCCUCUCGAAGAUAUGCUCAACAGCCACUACCUCAGAAGCAUGAUGAAUUAACACUCUAUCUGCAGUAUCUUCUUCAAUGGAGAAAAUGGAGUAGUCUUUAUACAUGGAUAAGUCUCCUUCACCAUGAACAACUAUUUCUCGCCUGUCGUGUUCAAAUUUGAUCAUUUGAUGCAAUGUUGAUGUGACUGCUUUAGCUCUAUAAAUCCAUGGCCUUCCCAAUAACAUAUUAUAUGAAGCAUCAAUAUUCACCACUUGGAAAUCCAAAGCAAAAUCCACAGGCCCGAUUGUCAGUAUGAACUCUAUUUCACCAAUGGCAUCAAUUUUUGAUCCAUCAAAACAUUUGACGCAUACAUUAUUAGGUUGGAUCCUUUCCACAUUAACAUUCAACUUUUGAAAAGUAGACAUAGGACAAAUAUUAGCGUUGAUCCUCUAUCAAUCAACACUCGAGUGACAAUGGAAUGCUCACAUUUCACAGUAAUGUAGAGAUCUUUAUUAUAUCCAGUACCUUCCACGGGUAAUUCAUCGUCUGAGAAAGUAAUCUUAUUUGCUUCAAAGAUCUUUCCAACAACCUUUUCGAGCUGAUUCACUCUAAUCUCAUUGGGAACACAUGUUUUAUUAAAAAUCUUCAUUAUAGCCUUACGGUGUUCCUCUGAAUGUAUUAAUAAAGACAACAAGGAAAUCUGUUCUGGUGUCUUCUUCAAUUGUUCUACGACAGAAUAUUCUGGCAAUUUCAUUUUCUUUAAGAAUUCUUCAGGUUCUUCAUCAGUAACAGGCUUCUUGACCAUCAUUCGUUCUUCAUUGCCUUGUUUAUUCUUCCUUAACUCUACUGGGGCAUAACAUCUCCCAGAUCGAGUUAAUCCACCUACUUUAUCGAUAUCUUCAAUUACUUUUUCCCUUAUGUAUCACCUUAAUGCGAUCAUAAUUCCAAAGAACUACCUUAGUAUUAACCAUAGGCAACUUUGAUACUGGUUUAAUAACAAUGGGAGCUAUAGGAGCUCCUUUUAUGAUUAAGAGAGGCUUAGGGGAUCUUCCAGGAACAAUGAGUUUCGGCUUUACUUGACUUGACCCAACAUUUUUUGAGAUCUCUUUCUCCAUCACCAAGGGAACAUUCGAUGAUUUGGGUUUUGUUAUCACCACCUUUUCUUUUGCAGGUUUUUCUUUUGUCAAAUCUACAGCAUUUGCCAAUUUUUCUGAACUAGUUUUGAUUUUAAUGAUCGGCUUGAAGGAUAUUAUAGUAUCUUUACCACUGGGUAUCACUUCGAGCGUGUUUGCUUCAUUAUGAUCUGGCAGCGGAUUUUGAUUAACAUUUGGAGCAUCUGGACUUUGUACUAUGAUCUAUUGGGUGUCAAUCAGCCCUUGAAUAGCUCUUUUCAGAUACCACUAUUUCUCUGUGUCGUGCCCUGGGGUAUCAGAACAGUAUUCACAUCUUCUAGAAUAGUCUAAGUUCUUCGAAGGAGGAUUCGGGAUUCUUCUCUCAAUUGGGUUUAGAACAUUCAUUUUCCUCAGCCUAUAAAAUAAACUGGUGUAAGAUAUUCCAAUAGGAGUGAAAUUAUCUUUGCCCAUGUUAUCCCUUUUAUAGUCUGCUCUAGGUCGGAAAUUAGACCUAGGAGGGCCUCUUUGAAUUUUCGGGAUCGGUGGAUGAUUUUGGAUGGCUGGUCCACGCUAUUGCGGGUAAGAAAGAGCCCGAGCAUAUGAUUGUGCAUUGUAAAUAGGAUAUUGGGGGGAUGGAACGAAAUAUAAUGGAUUUUAUACAUAUGGUUGACGUGAACCUCUCCAAUUUUGUCGUGGACAUGGUACGACAGUUGCUACAUCGUCUUUUCCUUUCUUUCCCCCAAAACUUCCUGCACCACUUUGAAUUGCCUGUGUUGUUGCUUUUAAAGCGGCCUGGCUGAUAAUCUUUCCCAACUUUAUUCCAUUCUCUACUAUCUCUCCAACUUUAAUAACUUCAGCAAAUGUGCUUCCAAUAGUCGAAAGUAAGUGAUGGAAAUAAUCGAGUUCUUGAGCUUGCAAAAAGAUAUCAAUCAUUUCAGAUUCCUUUAUCGAUGGCCUGAUUCUUGAAGCCUGCUUUCUCCAUCUGAUAGCAUAUUCUCGAAAACUUUCAGUCAUCUUUUUUCUCAUGUUAGCAAGCGUAAUGUGAUCUGGCACUAUCCCAAUGUUAUAUUGAAAUUGCUGAAUGAAAUCUCGAGCCAUGUGUCAGAGGCUAUUCCUGUCAGGCUUUCUCUAAAGUAAGCCAUCCUCUUCUUUUCCUCCUACUCCCCUUAAUUGGUUGCAGAACUUUUUCAAGUGAGCAACAGGAUCGCCAUGACCUUCGUAUUUGUCAAACUUUGGCAUUUUGAACCCUAGCGGCAAAUGGACGUCAGAAAACAUACAUAAAUCUUUGUAUGAAAUGCUUUUUGGUCCACCUAAUCCUUGCAUAUUUCUCAUACUCUGCUCCAAGCUUCUUACUUUCCUAGCCAUCUCCUCUUGUUCUUCAUUAUUAACAAUCUUCUCAAUUACGAUAGGAGAAUCGUGUUGAUAAGCAUGAUAAUGUGGAUUUUGGGAUUUGAAAGUUAUUUCAGUAGGAUACAAUAGAUCAUGACUUGGUUCCCCCAUAUUCUUCGGUAUUGUCGGUUGAGUACCUGUAGUAGCUGGUGCUAUAGAAGUAAAAAGAGGAUUAUUUGUGACAGCCAGAUUUGGUGGUCGCAUUGUAGAAGUACCAGCAAUACUAGGCAUAUUAGCAAAUGGGCCGAAUCCUGGUGGGUAAAAUGGAUCACUAGUUUGAGUUGGAGCAGGAUUUAGAUCAUUUGAAGUAGAAAUUCCAGGGAUUGAAGAAGGCGGGCUUGUCCAUUCAACCAAGCUUGGUACAUCUCUGCCAUCUGUUGUUUCAAUAACUUAAGUUCUUCCAUUGAUGCUACUUCCUGCGAAAUCAACUGAUUUUGAUCUUCUUCACCGUCAGACCCUAUACCUUCUCUGCUGUUCAUUUUUCUUUUUUCCUUGAAUAUGGUGUUGUACGGAUGUGAUGCCAUUUUAUACCACAAACCAACCACCAAUUACUUUAUCUUUUUGUAUGUCAAGUAGCAAACAAGUAAGUGCUAUAUAUUCAACACAUUAUAAUACCACGUUGUGUGUCAUGCUUCUAUAUGCAUUUUUCAACCUAUCAUGGAAGGCUUUGUGUUUCAUCCCGGCUUUUGUAGGCAUACUUUUCAAAAGUUAUGAUCGAACCCUUUGGAGGGUUUCCUACGUAUCAUGCCAAGACAUGAAUUAGAUCUUGCGUAGUUCGGGAAAAUUGGAGAUACAAAGAAACAUAUCCCUUUUUCUUAAUUAUUUGAAUAAUGAGAAACAAUUUAUUAUUAUUAUUAUUAUUGAAUUUAUAAAUAUAUAUAUAUAUAUAUAUAUAUAUAUAUAUAUAUAUAUAUUUGCAUUUUUUUUUAAUUUAGAAGGAAAGACAAUUAUUUUCUAAAGAUUACCGAAUCCAUUGAGGACUGCCUACGUAUCUCGAUAAAAUGAGAAUCAAGUGUGCGUAGUUCUUGAAAAUUAUGUCAUACAAAAUUUAUCCUCAAGACCCCAAAAGGUUCAGGGCUAUUAAGAUUUAUAUUUUUUGUAAAAACUUAACCUCAUGAUCCCUAAAGAUUCAGGACUAUUAAGAGUGAGAAUCAGACCCUCGUAGUUCAUGAAGACAUUAAAACUAUGUUACUAAAAUUUUUCAAUCUUUUAAAAAUAAAAUUUUUCUUUGAAAAAAAUGAUUCACUAAAUGUGAGGAUAAAUUAAUCUCUUGCAUUUUAAAAUUGCCUAAAGCCUGUCGACAACCAAAUAACCUUCCAAAAAAUGUCAAAGAGCACGUAGGAUGCACAUGUUAGUCUUUAUAAAGUAGGUCGCAUGUUCUAGGCAGACCCAGCCCCUGUGCCUAGUCCCGCUAAGUCAAAUGUAUAUGAUGCAAAUAAAUCGGCACCUAAUAGGGAUAACCAGAUUCUGAGUUUUCAGUUCUUCUAAGUUUAAGCCUAAUAGGGAUAGGUAUCAAGACUGGCUUUCCCGAGCGGACACUCGAGCUGGGGAGGGACAACUUUCGGUAGCAGGGCAACACCGCCUUCGUUGUCGAUCCGAAACCCGUCUAACAUGUGUGACUAUAUCCUUCACCAGGUGCCUUGACACUCUGGCUAUCUAAAAAAGAAAGUAGGAUGCAUGUGCUAUAUUCCUUCUAUCCUAUUUCAGAGACUCAGAGAGGGUGCGCAAGAGAAGACAGUAUAUAAUACAGUUCAAUCAAUAUCAAAGCGGUAAAUAAGCGACAAGUAGUACAUAAGGCCAACAAACACAAUAUCAACAAUAAUUAAAGCAAAUAAAAGUCAAUAUAAAAAGCUAAAAUUUUUAUUACUCCCCAGCAGAGUCGCCAGAGAUGUCAUACCUCUUUUUCGCUCGAGGGAAUCGAGAUCGAAGGGUUUUUCCAAUUAAAGUGAUGGUAUUGAAUAGGGAUUAAUUUUUAUUAUUUUUAGAGUCGCCACUAGGAAUUGAGUUAUGGUGUUCCAAGUCACCUUAUUGAAUCCCUAAUCAAAAGGAAAUGACUCUUUAUUAUGGUCUGCGAAAACAGAAGACUGGGUAAGAAAUUCUGUUGACCGAGGGGAAGGUGUAAGGCACCCCUCGAAUCCCGUGGUUCUAGCACGGUCGCUUUAAUUGACUUACCUUGAUUUAAUCUACUUUGAUAAAUUAUUUUAAGGCCUAAAAUCACUCAUUUUAUUAUUCUAAAACUUGUCUAUUAUUUCAUAUUAAAUAAAUCGGUGAAAGUUUAAAAAUAUUUGUCAAGUUAAUUUUAGAAAAAUAUUUGUCAAGGUGCAUUAUUGCAUUCUUGAAUUUUAAAUAUCCCAGAAAGAUGAGUACGCCAUAUUCUUAAAUGGGACAAACAUUUUAAGCGCGACUAGAUUUCCCUAGCGUUAAAACAUUGAUUUAUCUUUUGCCAAAUUGUAACAAUUUUAUUUGUUUGAAAUACUACUAUAUCUAAUAACAUUCAAAAAUAAUAUUCAAUUAAAAUUAUUAAUUAAUUUAAUAAAUAAUUAUUAAGCUUCAUGAAAGAAUAAAAAUAAUAAACUUCUAAAGUCAAAAACACACUUUAUAACUUCAAAAAUCAAAAUAAUGAAGAUUUUUUCUCUUUUUAUUUUUGUUUCAUUCUUUGUUAUUUUCUAUCUACUACUUUUACUAUCUUAACUAGUAAGAGAUAUGAUAUUUAACAAAUUCAUUUUUUCUUUUCCAUAGUAAAGUUACACAUGAGACAAACAUAACAAAAAUAAUCAACAACACAAAUAAAACUAGUGUUUUCAAAGAGCUUUGCCGGAGAAUGAAGAAACUCCGGCCAGAUCUGGCGGUGGAGAGGGAAGAAGGGAGGCGGCAGCGAGGUUGAUUUACCGGAGCAGCGCGCGUGGUGGCCGGCGUUAGUUGAGUUUCGCCGGUGAUGGUAGUUCCGGCAAGAUUUGGGAACGGGAAAUGGAGGGAUGGCAGAGAGACGCUGGAAAAAGGUGGUUUCCAGCGAGAUUUGCGAUGAGAAGGGAGAAAAAGGGACCAGCGGCGCGGGGGAAGGGGAAGAAAAGGGAUGGUCGGCGCCUGGAUUCGCCAGAGAAAUCAAAGCGACGACAGUGGCUGGUUACCGGCGAUAAAUUGCUAAAAAAAAAAGUUUUUAAUCUCCUUUGUUUUUAUUAUUGGCUUUUUCAUUUUUUAUUUUUUCGUCUGUCUCGAUCUUGGUCUCACUUCCCUUAAGAUUUUUUUUUGUUACUCUUUCUGGUAUGUACUGGUAUGCGCGUGGCACUGUGUAUAUGUGAAAAUCUGUGAAUACUGUGCAUUGUUAUGUAAAACAGUGUAGAUGUAUGAAUAUGUUAUUUCUGUGUACAAACAUACAAAUAUUUAGCAGUUUAAGAUACAAUACAUAGUAACGAACAAAUUCACAUAAUAGAUCAUAUACACAUAUUAAAUAAUCCCUGAAAAUUAUUUAAACAAACUUCAUUCAUAUUUUGGUUUCUAAUAGAAUUUUAUACAACAAAUAAUGAAAGAUUAAAGAGAAACCUGUAAGGAAUUAAAUUGAAUAAUGCAACAAGAAAUUUUUACCAAAAACUUCUAACGGAAUCCUAAUUCACUUAUACUCUUUUCUCUCUUUGGACUGAUGAUUUUUUCUCUAUUUUUUUAUCUGGUUUUUUUAUGAUGUAGAUGUACGUAGAAUCUUUCCAAAAAAGGGGUUUUAAAAUUCAAAUUUAUUUAUUAUUAUUAUAAAUAUUUUUAUAUAGAAAAUAAUAACAAUAAUAAUAAAUAAAGAUAAUAAUAAUAAUAGUAAAUAAAUAAAUUAAAUAAAUAAAAUAACAACAAUAAUAGCAAAAAUAAAUAUAAUAAUAAUAAAUCAAUUAAUUUUAUAUUUCAAAAAAUAUAAUAACAAUUUAUAAAUAGACAAAUAUAAAUAUAAUAAAAUAGUAUUAAAACUACUAAUUUAUUUAUUAAAAAUUAUAAAAGAAAAAUAUUUUUUAAUUUUUGUUUAAUAAUUUUUUUUAAAAUUAGAAUUUAAAAAAAUAUCUUGAAGUUAACUUUAUUUAAUUAUUUAUUUUUUAACUAAAAAUUAUUAAAAAUAAAAAAAUAAUAAUCAAAUUAAAUUUUAUUAAAUAUAAAUGUUUGAUAUCGAUAAACAAGUUAAAAAUUUAGGGAGAAUCAAAAAUCACGUGUCUACAGAUAAGCAUCAAGACAAAAUGACAAUAGGCCGAGAGUCAUCGUUUCUCACCCUAAGGUGGUACCGGGAUCAAAUGGUAGAAGCAACCAAGGACUUAGGUCUCGCCCACUCUCAUUCUCCCCUAGGAUGUUAUCCUCAAAGUUAAGCAUAUCCUCUUUAUCGCCAUUGGAAAUAUCAUGAACAAAAAGAGGUUUGAGAAAGGUGUUCCACAAGUCAACUUCAAAUAAAGGAUUCUCAUGCACUUACUACUAGUUUCAAAAUCUCCACUAGGCGUAUGUCCAACAUAAGAAACAUAUAGAGAAGAAGUCGAUGGAAUUUGUCAACAUGUAUCACCUUCUUUUUCACAAGAGUUGUCCUUACAUACAUACAAAUCAUCACGGGCAACCCAAGGACCAUAAUCAAAACCGUCUUCACAAGGACAAUCACAAUUUGGGUUUUAUAAACAUUCUAGCAAAUCAAGAUCAACUUCACACAAUUGAUCAUUUUGCUCACCCUCACUAGUUGUUGGCAACUCACAUACCAACGUCGACUCACCUUGGUUUUCACAAGGGUCAACUAGUGUGUGAAUACUCUCGUCACUUGGUAAUGGAACCGUAGUCAAGUUAUAAGUGCUAGCACUAGAUGGACACAAAUUAUUCUCACGAGGAGAAUCAAUUUCGUCAUCUAAAGGAUCAACUAGUGCUUGUGUGCCUACAACAAGAGUUUGGUCCUCAUGUGAUCUAACAAUAUCAAGAGUAUCACAAAGGGAAGACUCAAGCACCUUUACCCUAGGCAAAGUAACAACUACACCCACUUGGCUCCUACUAGCCACAACACAAUAUUUUAAGUUCAUAGGAGUAUAGCGAAUAGAGUUUUUACCUCGUAGAUCACAUGAGCUACGGCCUUUCUUUUGACGUGUGUUCGGGCAGCCCACUUGCUCUCUUUGACCUACCAUAUGAUCCAACCUUUCAUUUGCCAUAGCUAGGUCUCGGGACAUAGUGUCAAGGUAGGCCAAAAUGGCAUUGGUGUCAUUGUUGUCCAUGGGUUGAGAGGUUGAAGCCACGGGUUCCCUUGUAAUUGUACCUAAAAAGGAAAAGAACAAGCCUACAAAAUAAAAUACAAGUUAGUUCGAAACAACCUCACCACACACUCACACACUUGAUCGUCGAACACUUGGAUUCACAAGUAUUGAAAGUCGGCUUGUACUUCGUGAGUGAUUGAGGGACGAGCCUAUCUUUACCCAGAAUAGAUUUUCGUUUGAUUUGACUCGAAGAAAAUUUAUUUACGAACUUGAACCAACAAGAUACAACGAAUUCACAAAAGAUAAAAAUGUUAAACAUGAAUGAACGAACACAAAGACUAACUAACAAUCUAGUAGAUGAGUACUAGUUUGCCAAUUAGUAUUCGAACCAACGAAAUUGAAACUAAGGAACAACAAAAGGAAACUAUGAAAUAUGAAAUUUGAACUUAAAUAUGUUGCGUGGACAGUAAACGAUAAUGUGGCAGCCACGUAUUGGUUGCGGUUCUUUAACUAUUUUUAUUUUCCAAAGUUGAAAGUCUUGGUCAAUUUUUUAAUUUGCGAAUUGGUGAAAUUGGUUAAGGAGGAAAAAAUAAGUUUUGGAAUCCUCUUUCAAUUUUCAAAAAGGAAUACUUGACUUUCUUUGUUCUCUCUCCUCAAAACAUGGCCCUUAAUUCAUGGAAAGUUGUUGGUAAGUGGUCAUUAAAGUCUUUGGUGGUUGAGGAGUCUUUCAAGACUAACAAACUUUACACUUUUUUCCUCCAACCUUUUAGAUCUAACAUCCAUUUUUCUUUCAAUAAAGGAUGAAGAUCGGUGAAGAACACCAAGAACACAAACUUUUGAAUCUUGGAGCUAAGGUUCAAGUUGGUUUCACACUUCAAUCAACACUUUCUCAAGUUCCACCUUUCAACAACAACUUCAACAAAAGGUUCUUAGGCCACCAAUUCAUAACAACAUCCGCGGCCAAGCUUAAGAACAACAAGGAAAAACCACACUGCCAAAAAUAGUGCACAACAACAAUAUUCAACAACAAUGGGCCAAGUUUAUGUUCACAACAACAACAUCAAAAUACAAGCUCAAAUCAAGAUAUAGAUGCAAUGUGUUAGUGAGGAACCAAACUAACACUUAGGGACAAUAAAUACAAGUAAAAAUCUUGGCCAAUACACAACAAAAACAUAAUUUUCGGCCAAGAACACAAAAUGGACAUAUUGCUCUCUUUUCUGGAAUUUUCAGUUUUCAACUUUUUUUUAAUUUUUUUUAACUCUCAAGCCCAAGAUUGGUCUUGUUAGAACAAAAUCAAAGAUGACUCUGAUACCAAAUGAUACAAGAAAGACAAGGAACACACGAAAACACACUCCAAAAAUAGUCCACUAUAUAGUUCAAGAACCGAGGACCCUUUUGAAGACCACUCUCGAAUUCGACAAAUACAAUAAGAAUACAAGAAACAAGGGUGUAUUUGACAACAAAUCAGCCACCACAAACUAACAAAGAGAUUAACAAGAUAGCAAGAUGAGCAAUAACAUAAUGGAAAAAACAAUACAAGUUUUUUACUAGAACAACAACAAAGAGUACAAGAAAUAUAAAGAUAGGUAGUGAGACAUAUAUUAUUACAAGACCUAAGAACUAGGGUGUGUAUUAAGCACCUAAACCCUUAGAAACAUGUAAUAAGAACACCUACACUCUUUGUGGGCACAAUAGGGACCUCAAUCCUUCAAGCACCCAAUGUUCCAAGCCAUGAAUCCAACACGAGUGAUUCCACAUUCAAGUUGAAACCUAGUUUCGAUUUUGCAUAAAAAGAGAGAGGACCUGGUAUUUCAAAAGUCAUACAAGACUUACAAAUAUCAUGAAUAAUAUAAGACUAAAAGACCUAAAAUGUACUAUUUAUAGUAGGUUACAAAAAUAGUGUGAAAUGUCCAAAAGACCCCUUAGUCAAAUCCUUCACUUUGGACACCCUUGGAGUGUAGUUUGUGGACUACUGUUUUGGAGCCUAUUUAGGCCUUCCUUUGCACUUCACUUAUACGCUCCAAGUCUCAGGUUCAAUACAUCUCACAUACGUCCAUCCUCGUGGUCGUACUUGUAUCAGGUUUGCUGCAGUAGGCUUGAAUCUCCUUAAAGAGAGCAAGAUAUCCACGCCUCAGCCGAAAAAGAAGAAAAGAUAUUUCUUCUCACAUACGUCCAUCCUCGUGGUCGUACUUGUAUCAGGUUUGCUGCAGUAGGCUUGAAUCUCCUUAAAGAGAGCAAGAUAUCCGCGCCUCAGCUGAAAAAGAAGAAAAGAUAUUUCUUUAUUUUCUUCACUUUUAAUUUUAUUGUAAUUUCACCAACAAUAUAUAUAUAUAUACUCGUUGUGGAUCCCACUAGUUAAUAGUUUAUAUAUCUCCUAUAAAUUAAAAUUUUUGAAGAGAUCAUCUCCAAAUUAUAUAUACAAUGAAGCAAAUAGCAGAAAACCAAAUAGACUAAUGAUAUUAUUAAUGGGGUAAAAAAAUUUUCUGAAAAAUGAGAUUUUUCUUACCAAAGACACUCAUCUACUCUGACAUGAAUUCUGAUCCCAAAGAACCUCUCGGGCUAAAAACGCUUCAGAAUUGUGCCACCAUAAUUAGGAAGUACAAUUAACAACCAGAGAAAGAGGAACAUUAUUUGCCUAGCGUAUGUUGGAGGCAGCCCACCUUGCAGAAUGUAGACUGCAGUAAUGUCAUGGUAAAAUUUCAAGAUGAAAAGCAACUUCCUAAGCCAUUGCUACAUACAACAUAAGAAAUCAAAUACGUGGAGAUGCAACAACUAACAAAGGAAACUUUCGCCUAACUGUAAUUCCAAGUGCUUCAUCCACAUCCAAAUCUUCAGGUUUUGUUCCAUUUAGUGACGAAAAUUCAAAAUGAAACAACAUUCUUGCCAAUGCCAACUCAUUCACAACUUUAGCGAAUGUAAUUCCGGGACAACCUCUUCUUCCAGCACCAAAUGGAAUUAACCCGAAAUCUAGCCCUUUGUAAUCCACAGAACUGUCCAAAAACCUUUCUGGUUGAAACUCCUCAGGAUUUUCCCAUAUGUUCGGGUCCCUGGAGAUGGCCCAGGGACAGACAAUGACUUGAGUUCCAGCAGCUACAUCGUAGCCCAACACUUUGGUGUCCUUUAUUGCUUCUCGAGGAAGCAAUGGCACCGGAGAAUGAAGCCGUAGACUCUCUUUGAUCACUGCUGCUAAAUAAGGCACGUGCUCCAAGUCGUCCUCUGUUACGUCUGACUUUCCUUCAGUGACUUGUCUCACCUCGUCUCUUAAUUUUCGCAGUCUUUGGAUUUCUGAGGAGUUCAUUCAUUGUCCAUUCUAAAAGAGUGGAGGUUGUAUCUGUUCCUGUAGAAAACAUAUCCAUUAUAAUAGCUUUAAUUGAAUCCAUUUCAACCUUAAAACCCGAUUUGUUUUCUUUCUGAACUUGGAGCAGUAUAUCCACAAAGUCUGCUGACUCUUCCUCUUCGUCAUCUAUUUUCG